UAGAGGCGCCUCUCGGAUCCUUCUCUACCUCCCUGAUCUUCAGAACAAGAGACCGGGUGGCUAGGCGUUCUCUUUGAACCUACGUUAGCCACCCUCAAAACUUCUUCCACCCUUUACACCAUACCUGAACUCGUUCGAGACGAGAAGGAUUUUAUCUUGCCUGAACUCGCUCAUAGGCGAGAAGGUCUUUAACUCGUGCCUCUACAUUGCCCCAGGGGUUACAUCUCCUCUCCCCCAGAAACACUGAGGACUUUUCGCUGGUGCCUCUACAUUGCCCCAGGGGUUACAUCUUCUCCCCCCCAGAAACACUGAGGACUUUUUACUGGUGCCUCUACAUUGCCCCAGGGGUUACAUCUUCUCCCCCCCAGAAACACUGAGGACUUUUUACUGGUGCCCCUACAUUGCCCCAGGGGUUACAUCUUCUCCCCCCUAGAAACACUGAGGACUUUUCACUCUUCCUCGCCUGCACUCGCUCGACGGCGAGGAGGUCUUUAUCUCGCCUCAGGACGCGCGAGGGCGUUGAGGUCUUUUAACUAGUGCCUCUGAUCGUCGAAAGACGAUGAGGACUUUAACUUUAACUGGUGCCUCCGAUCGCCGAAAGACGAUGAGGACUUAUAAACUUUNNNNNNNNNNNNNNNNNNNNNNNNNNNNNNNNNNNNNNNNNNNNNNNNNNNNNNNNNNNNNNNNNNNNNNNNNNNNNNNNNNNNNNNNNNNNNNNNNNNNNNNNNNNNNNNNNNNNNNNNNNNNNNAAAUCACAUAUAAGUGACAAGGUCUUUCUUCAAAACUUUGGAAAACAGCAAGCAUGCAAUCUAAAACAACCUUAAGCUUCGAAAACUCUUCUUUAUUGGGUGGCCUCAUUAAAAACCUUCCUUAGGGAAAAAAGAGUGCCCCCUUCAAAACUGUUUUAACAGAGACAUUGUAGUAUAACUUCGUGUUUGUCUUUACAUACAAAGUUCUCAACUGUAAUACAACUUGAGGUGCGUGGCGUUCCAAGUGCGAGGAAUCGCCCCUCCUUCCAAUGUCUCUAAAUGGUAGGCGCCAUUCCCGAGCACCUCGGUUAUUCUGAACGGUCCCGUCCACUUAGGCGACAACUUAUUCUCCAUCUCGUACUGGUGGGCCUUCCUCAUCAUCAGGUCGCCUUCUCUGAACUGUCUCGGCAUCACCUUCGAGUUAUAUCUUCGUUCAAUCCUUCUCUUCACCGCCUCAGCUUUUAAUCUCGCCUCUUCCCUGACCUCAUCCAGUAGAUCCAGGUUCAACCUUCUCUCCUCAUUCGAGUCUUCCUCCACGAAGUUCUGGAAUCUCGGCGAGCUCUCCUGGAUCUCCACUGGAAUNNNNNNNNNNNNNNNNNNNNNNNNNNNNNNNNNNNNNNNNNNNNNNNNNNNNNNNNNNNNNNNNNNNNNNNNNNNNNNNNNNNNNNNNNNNNNNNNNNNNNNNNNNNNNNNNNNNNNNNNNNNNNNNNNNNNNNNNNNNNNNNNNNNNNNNNNNNNNNNNNNNNNNNNNNNNNNNNNNNNNNNNNNNNNNNNNNNNNNNNNNNNNNNNNNNNNNNNNNNNNNNNNNNNNNNNNNNNNNNNNNNNNNNNNNNNNNNNNNNNNNNNNNNNNNNNNNNNNNNNNNNNNNNNNNNNNNNNNNNNNNNNNNNNNNNNNNNNNNNNNNNNNNNNNNNNNNNNNNNNNNNNNNNNNNNNNNNNNNNNNNNNNNNNNNNNNNNNNNNNNNNNNNNNNNNNNNNNNNNNNNNNNNNNNNNNNNNNNNNNNNNNAUCGGCAGCGGGAAAGGUCCCAGGAUGUCGAUUCCCCAUGUAUGAAACGGCCAAGGGUUGUAGAUCGACUUCAACUCCUUGGGAGGCGCCUUGUGCCAAUCGGCGUGUUGUUGGCAUUGUUUGCAACACUGCGCAUACCUCUUGCAAUCUUCUCUCAUUGUUGGCCAGUAGUAACCUGCACGGAGAGUCCUUGCGGCCAGAGCUCGACUCCCGACGUGGCUUCCGCAUAUCCCUUCAUGGAGCUCUGCCAUAAUUCUCGUGCAUUUCUCGCCAUGCACACAUUCCAGGAGUGGGUGAGUGAACCCAAACCUGUACAACUCGCCAUCAAUAAAUGUGAACUUGCUAUAAUUCUUCUUUAUCUUCCUAGCCUCUGUCGGAUCCAGCGGGAGAAGGCCAUCUGCCAGGCACCGCUUGUACUGUGUUAUCCAGGUGUCUGGCUCAUGGGUAGCGCAAACCUGCGUCAUGCUCACCUUCUCUCCCUGACAUGCCCUUAUUCUUGGCGACCUCAAGGUCUCUUGAGUCAAGGAUUUAUGACUCCUCGCCGCUUUCUCCGUCGACUUGCUUAUCUGAAGAACCAGGUGAUUUGCUACAAAUGCUCUCGGCGUCUUCAGAGUUUGUUGAAUCACCGUCCUCUGCCUACCCCCCUUGCCUGAACUGGCGAGCUUAGCCAGCAAGUCAGCUCGGGCAUUCUGCUCUCUGGGCACAUGCACCACUUCAAAGGAGGCAAAGGAACUCUUCAAUUCCUGUACAUACUCCAGGUAAGCCGCCAUUUGUGGAUCCUUAGCCUGGAACUCGCCUGUUACUUGCCCCGUGACUAGCAGCGAGUCACUCUUAGCCAUCAGGACCCUUGCUCCCAUAUCUUUGGCCAGCAAGAUCCCGGCGAUCAGCGCCUCAUAUUCUGCUUGAUUGUUGCUGGCUUUGAAGGCAAACCUCAAAGAUUGUUCGAUCAGCACGCCGUUGGGUCCCUCCAAAAUGACUCCAGCACCGCUACCCUGCUGGUUCGACGAUCCAUCCACCGAGAGCACCCAACGGAAAUCGUCCCCUUCAACUCGUGUUGCCUCAGAUGAGAGCUCGACCACGAAAUCUGCGAAGAUCUGUCCCUUAAUCGGGCCUCGGAGCUCAUACUUAAUAUCAAACUCUGACAGCUCCACCGCCCACUUCACCAUCCUCCCAGCAACGUCGGGCUUCUUCAAGACCUUCUGGAUGGGGAGAUCGGUCAUCACCAGAAUUGUGAAACUAUGGAAAUAGUGGCGUAACCUCCUCGCCGAAAAUACCACAGCCAGUGCAGCCUUUUCCAGGGCCUGAUAUCUCGUUUUGGGGCCCUGCAACACCUUACUAACAAAAUAAAUAGGCUUCUGAGCCUGAUCUUGGUCCUGGGCGAGCACCGCACUCACCGCCCUCUCAGUUACAGCAAAAUACAACCUGAGAGGUGUUCCCACCAGCGGUUUGCACAAAAACCGGCGGGCUCGCCAGAUACUCCUUCAGCUUGACGAAGGCUUCCUCACACUCCUUCGUCCAGGCAAACUUGUUAUUCCGCCUUAAACACUGGAAAUAUGGGUGGCCCUUCUCUCCGCUAGCUAACACGAAGCGAGAUAGGGCGGCCAUCCGACCUGUGAGCUGUUGUACUUCCUUCACCGUGGCCGGGCUCCUCAUCGCCAAGAUGGCGGCACACUUAUCCGGGUUGGCUUCUAUUCCUCUUUCAGUUAGGAGAAAUCCCAGGAACUUUCCAGCCUCCACGCCAAAGAUGCAUUUCUCUGGAUUCAGCUUCAAUCUGAACUUGGCGAUCGUCGUGAACAAUUCCUCCAAGUCCGCAACGUGCUUGCUUUUCUCUGGCGAGGUCACGACCAUGUCGUCCACAUAUGCUUGCACAUUCCUUCCUAGCAUCGGUGCAAGUACUCGAUCCAUCAACCUCUGGUACGUGACCCCCGCAUUCUUCAGCCCGAACGGCAUCACCUUGUAGCAGUAGCACGAUCUCUCGGUCAUGAAGGCAGUCUUCUCUUCAUCCAUGGGAUGCAUCUUGAUCUGGUUAUACUCCGAUAAGGCAUCCAGGAAACUCAACAACUUGCACCCUGCAGCACUAUCCACCAGGGCAUCUAUGCUCGGUAAAGGAUAUGAGUCCUUUGGACAAGCCUUAUUUAGAUCAGUGAAAUCGACGCACAUGCGCCAUUUCCCGUUGCUCUUCUUCACCAGCACGACAUUGGCCAGCCACUCAGGGUACUGGACUUCCCUGAUGUGGCCUGCAGCGAGGAGCUUCUGGGUUUCGUCCCUGAUCGCCUGCCUCCUCUCCUCGUUGAACUUCCUUCUCCUUUGCCGCACUGGUCUCACCAAGUUGUCCAUCGCCAAAUGAUGGCACAAGAAGUCGUGAUCGAUCCCGGGCAUGUCCGAAGCGGACCAUGCAAACGCAUCCAGAUGCCGUUCUAUCACCUUGGCGAUCUGGUCCUGGAGCUCAACCUCCAGGGAUCAUCCCAGCUUGAAGAUCUUUCCCCCGAUCUCUCUCUCGAGCCACUGCUCGACGGGUUUUGGCCUGGUUUCUCUGGUGAUCACCGCCCUGGCGAUUCCCAGCUCUCUCGCUUCCUCAGGGCGAUUCCUCGCCUCUUCUUCCUCCAGACCGGCGUUCCCCUCCCCCAGCUCAGCAUCCACCAUCUCUACGUCUCUUCCGGCGAUCUCUUCUAUUACCGUCGAUCUGGGCUUCACACCGGGAGGCGGGGUGGUUGUUACGUAACUUACCGACCUCUUGUUUUUCAGGCUAUUCUCAUAGCACUUCUUCGCUUCUUUCUGGUCGGAUUUGAUGGUGAUCACCACCCCCUCCAUAGACGGCAACUUCACCUUCAUGUGCCGGGUUGAUGGUAUGGCGCCUAUUCUGUUGAGCGUAGGCCUCCCCAACAGAAUAUUGUAUGCUGAAGGAGCGUUCACGACCAGGUAUUUGAUUUUUUCUGUUCUCGAACCCGCCUCAUCUGUAAACGUAGUUCUCAACUCAAUGUACCCCCUGACCUCCACCUGGUCACCAGCGAAACCGUACAAACACCCUCCAUAGGGCCUCAGCUGGUCAAGGGGCAGCUCCAACUGCGUGAAAGUCGGCCAGAACAUCACGUCUGCCGAGCUUCCUUGGUCCACCAGAACCCUGUGGACCUUUCUUCCUGUUGUGAUCAACGAGAUGACUAUGGGAUCGUUGUCAUGAGGCACAACGUCCCGAAGAUCUUGCUUGGUGAACGUAAUGUCCACAUCCGGCGAGUGGUCUUCAAACAUAUCCACCGUCAUUACAGACCUCGCGUACCUCUUCCUCUGUGAUGCGAUGCAUCCACCUCUCCUGAGAAACCCCCUGCAAUGGUGUGGAUUUCCCCGUGUGUAGGCAUCUCGUGCUGCUGAGCCUCAGCACCGGCUGGCUGGGAGCUUGACGCGCCCCCCGUCCUUCUCUCCAGCAAAUAGUCAUUUAGGAACCCGCUCUUGACCAGAUCGUCGAGCUGGUAUCCUAAAGCCAAACAUGAAUCCACGGUGUGGCCAAAGCCCCGGUGAAACUCACACCAGGCGUCUGGCUUUGGUCCCAGAACCUUGUCGCCUACCUUCUCGGGCGCUUUCAACCUAGCUGAUAUGUUGGGAAUGGCGAUCAGGUCCGCCAAUCCCAUGACAAACUUGUGCUUAGGCGGGCGAUUGUAUUCCCGGCGUGCUGGUUGUGGGCGUCCUUGGCCCCUGCCCUUGUUCUUCCUUGGAUCAUAAGGAUGGCGAGUCCUCUGAUCCCUUCUGGCCGCCGCUGUCUCUAGCACCCUCUGUGGCUGGAUCCUGGUCUGGGCGCGUGGCCUAGCGGGAGCCACGCUUCCUCUCUUCUCGGCGACUUCACUCUCGUCGGCGAUGUGGGCCACCGCAAGUCACCUAACCUCAGCAAAUGUGGCGGGAUGGGCCCUGAUCAAUGCCUCGCAGAAUGGUCCCGGCAGCACGCCCUUCUUGAAUGCGUAGACCAGCAUUUCCUCAUCUUUGGCCGGCGAUCUGACCAUCUGCGCCCCAAAGCGAUUCAAGUAGUCCCUGAGGGACUCUCCCUGAUAUUUCCUUAUAUCAAACAAAUCGUAAGACACCCUGGGCGGUGCCUUAUUCACGAUGUACUGCUCGACGAAAAUCUUCGAGAACUGUUGGAAGUUGGUUAUGUGACCUGUAGGCAGGCUGACAAACCAUUCCAGCACUGUUCCCUGGAGUGUGCUCACGAACAUCUUGCAGUACACGGCGUCUGAUCCUCCUGACAGCAUCAUCUGCGUAUGGAACGUGGUGAGAUGAGCCUCAGGAUCCUCCACGCCAGUNNNNNNNNNNNNNNNNNNNNNNNNNNNNNNNNNNNNNNNNNNNNNNNNNNNNNNNNNNNNNNNNNNNNNNNNNNNNNNNNNNNNNNNNNNNNNNNNNNNNAGCCUUAACAGGUACCACACUCGCAGGAAUAGGCGUGUCAGUAAUCGCCUGAGCGAAAGGCAUAGGAAAAACACGGGGCGGCAUCGACGGCGCGACCUCUUCAGCAAUAGGACGCCCUCGCUGCUCCUGAAGAGCUUGACGCAACUCUUCAGUCCCCUUGCUAAGCUCAUCAUUCUUGGCCCGAGAGGCGACCAGGUCCUCAUGCAUUCUCGCCUGCUCUAUACGCGAGGCUUCCACAUUCGCCUGCAACAAACGCAUGAUUUCCACCAUCUGCGCCAUAGUCAUGGCGCUGGCGUCUUCAGCAGCAACAGGCGCAACUGGACUUGAACGGUUGCUUCUCAUUUUUCUCAUGAAACUCGACGAAUCACAGAGUGCAACGUAUCAACACUUCCUUCAACGACGAUCGAUUCAACGAUCAAUCGGUCAGAACUUCGCGACACUUCGCAAGAAAACUCAAGAACACAGCGAACCUCCACAGAAACCUGCAACUCCACCAGAAACCACCGCUUCUCCCACGAAAAACCAAUACGAGCCAAAAACUCAAAUCUCACCGAACAAAACUCGCGUAAGCAGGAAAAAACUUCCCCUCACCGAACAAAAAUCCAAACGAACGGUGGAAAACGCGAAAUCACCGAACAAAACUUAGAUAACAGCGAACAGUGGUUGCACCAGCACACAACCGCGCAGAAAACUGCAAAAACCUCCAAGAACUCACGCUGUGGAUGGGAACAGGUUUUACACGGCCCCACGGUGGGCGCCUGAUGAUCCUGCCUGUUGACCAAAAUGUUGGAGCUUGCCUCGUCAAACUUGGAUCGACGUAUGCACCGCUUCAACCUCCGUCCUUCGUCACGAUCCACCUCAAGAACCUGCAAAAGAACAUAGCGGCGCCGCUGCGGCCGAUCGCACUUUAACGCCCAAGUCAGUGACUGAACCACCAAAUACUUCAAGAGUAACACUCAAGAACUGUCAAGGAACCGUGAACCAGUUCUCUCUCAUAGUAUACUCAAGAACUUGCAAGCGUAAAGAAUACAAUCUGAACGUGCGUCCCUCAGAAGUUCGUUGGGGAACCCUUAUAUACCUGGGCACUUUCUCUCUCUCCUGGCAGUUACACACCUGGACACGUGGCUCGCAUCCAGCUGUACACGUGCCAUCAUCUGGAGCCUCCUUGACUUGGGCGCUGCUUCUGACUCUCUUUUGGCUAAGUUACUUAUGCAUGAUACUACUCAGUGCAUAGCUGUCCUGGAGUGCGAUCUCUACUGGAUUGGCGAGCUAGGGUGCCUUCGUACACACCUUCCCUGUGGUCUCGUCGGCCGCCUUCAUAAUCUGCACCACCUUCAUCUUCAGCGAUGUGCUUGCUCUGGCGAUCUCUAAUCACUUGGUCACCUGAGUUUACAUCUGGCGACUUCAUCUUUAACCCGGUGACCGCCGGUUCUGGUGUGCUGGAGAUCGGAGCACGCCAACUUAAUAACUGGCGACUACACGAGCCUCCUGACCUCCUUCCCUUCUGCCAACCUGGCGUCUUAUCAACACGCCUAUACAAUAGCUUGAUGCCACGUCAUCACUUCCGACUACCAGGGCGGUACAAUAACCUUUAGGAGGUUUUUGAAUAUCAUCCGUAAACUUUUUAAUCAAAUAUGUCAAGUAUUUAGAAUGUUUAGGUAAUGAAAAAGAAAGGAAGAAAAACACAUUUGAGGUGAUGUGAUGAUACCCGUGUUAUCUUGUCCUUCAUUUUCUCUUUCAUUUUCAUUUUCGGUUUUUGUUUUAAUUUGGUCUUGAUUUACUUCUUGUAACAUUGUGGUUCUUUUAUUUGGACAAUUGGCAGCUAUGUUCCCAUGACCUAAACAUUUGAAACAUUUUGUGCUUGAAGUUUUGGUGGGUGACUUGGGGGUAGAGGUAGAAGGAUUAUGUUUAGAAACUUUUUGGUGAGAAGUGGUUUCUUUUGAAAAAUUGGAAGGAGAAGUUUUUGUAUAAUUUUUGUUUGUAUCCUUCCAUGAAGAUUUGUAGAAGCCAUGAUUAUUAGUAUUUAUGAAAGUUGUUUUCUUCAAAAGUUGUGAUUCCACCUUGGUGGCUAGGUGAAACACUUUCUUUAAAGAAGAGUACUCAUAUAAUUCUACAAUAUCUUGAAUUUCUCUCCUCAAACCACUUACAAACAUAGCUAUCUUGGACUCUUCAUUAUCAUGCAUAUUAAUUUUAGUCAAAGUUGUUUCUAAGUCUUUAAAGUAUUCGUCUACCAUCUUAGGUCCUUGAUGAAGGCGUUGUAGCUUCAACAAGAUUUCCUUCCAAUAAGGAGUAGGAACAAACCACGAGCGCAUACAUGCUUUCAAAUCAUACCAAGAGACAACGACUGACCUCUUGUUUAGCCCAAUGUUCAUUACAGUUUGUUGCCACCAUUGGAUGACAUAGUGUAAAAAAAAUAGGGAAGCUAACCUAACCUUUUGGUCCUCGGUGACCUUAUACACAUUAAAGAGAUGUUCAACUUUAGCUUCCCAUUCUAAAUACAAAGUAGGGUCAUUGGACCCAUUAAAACUAGGUAACUUUACAAAAUCAAAAGAAUGUUGUGGUUGGUGUUGAUGGUGCCGUUUGUCAAAAUUGUGCACUCUCCAAACAUGUUCUUGACUCCCAUAGUGCAUGGAAUGUCUAGUUGCUAUUGGCAGCUCCCAUCUCUUUUCUUGAGUUUGCCUUGCUUGAGCUUCUUCUAGUCUUUGCAAUCUUUUUGCUAUUUGGGUUUCCUCGUCUUUGUGGACCAUUCGAUUCUUAACUUCCACAAGUUCUCCCAAAAGGUGGGCUUUGUGAUGUGAUUGUGGUUUUUAAAUUCACUUAAAGAAAGAUGAGUCAUAAUUCACAAGUGAACAAACAAUUAGUGAAAUAAAAGUUAGUAAAAAGACUCUCAAGUUUGCGUGACUUUUGGAGAGAACACUCAAAGAAAUUUUUCUCCACUUCACAAAGGUCUUUCUUGAGGUUGAGAACUCUCAAAUGAAAAAGGUCAAAGCCUUAAACACUUGAUCUUAAAGGAAGCGACCACAAAACUUGAGGAAAAGAAAUAAGAGACGAACAAGAAAAGCUUAAGCAAGAAAAGCUAAAUCAAAUUUGAGAAAGAGAUUAUGCCAAAACUUGAAGAAAGACAAACAAGAAAAAGGCACACAAAAAGGACUCAAAGAUACUGAUCCUGCCGGCAACUCGAACGUGGAGGAAUCGCUUUGUAGCGCUCUCUGUCUCGUCUACGCGACUGCGUUCUCUGCAAAGUCACCCUCAGAACCUUCUCUUGAUGCUCCAAACGUGACCUGCAAAACACACAGACGGCGCCUCUAGCGGCCGUUUGCACUCCGACGAUCAAGUUAGACCACAGAACCACCAAUGAGAAAAACUAGUAGUGUGUGUGAAAACUCUUGCUCUCUAAUUUUUCGUAUCCCCUCAAUCUCUCCCUGAUUGUCUUUUAUGUCUCUCUCUCUGCUUCUGGGCAUAACAGAAUUCUGUUAUGCUUUUCUGGCAUGUGUCAGAACCCUGUUAUGCUUUUCAGAGACAGUGUACCUGCAGAAUCAGUAGAGUGUGGGUGUCUGUGCAUGUCCGCGCGUCUCUGCGCUUGGCUGCGCUUGUCUGUACCUGUCUGUACCUUUAGUGGUACGGAGUGCACCUUUAUCUGGACCGCACCCCUCUCAGUUGAUGACGCGUGGAGGCAUGCGACUCGCAUCUAACCACACACGCGUCACUUACUGGAAGGGAUCUAGCGCCUCUCUUUGCGUGCUAAGUUAUUCCCUUGUGGAGUAACUUAGCAUAUUUCUUUCAUUUGGGUAAAUCGCAUACUCUCAGGAGAACGCCAGGUGUGGCCGGUCUAGGCACACUCACCAAGCGUUGCUCUCUGUGUAGACGACUUACCCUUCACGCACGUAAUGGGUUGAGGGAGUCACCAAUCACUGAUCGGUUUACUAGCUCCCUCAGGCCACUCUCAUGCGCGAUUCCCUGAGAUGUGCUCAUGCGAGGUCCAUGUGUAACGCUCUCGCUGGGAACCUCAGUCCCAGUUUAACUGCGUGUAACACGAGACCCCGAUGACAAUGCACCCGAUGACUGAUCAGUGCUCUAUUUGCUUCUCGCGUUCUGCCCCCAGGCGUGAGUCUGGGAACUGGUCUGUUGGUGGCCACUUGGCUACUGACCACCGAUCACCGUUCUGGGUGAUAUGUCCCCUGACCUCUCUGCCGCCUGAUCUGUCGAUGGUCACUUGGUUACUGACCCCCGAUCACCGCUCUUGGCGAUCGCCUCCCUGGUCUCUCUGUCACCUGGUCCACGUGUCACCCUGCGAGUGGUCCACGUGGUUCUCUGCUGCUGACGUCAUCGACUACCGAUGACCGAUCGGAUCAGAUACUUACUAAAAUUUUAACAAUGAAACAUUUUCUUUAGAAAUUGCUAAAGCAAAAGGAUAAUAAAUUCCACUAUGGUUGAAAUUAAUUUGCCAAUCAAGUUGAAUCCAAAUUUGGAAAAUGUUUUUCUUUAGUAAUUGACACCACAAAUUUGCGUUUUCAUUUUUUUUAUACUAGUUUUUGAAUUAUGGAAAUGAAAUGUCCAUACUUUUUAAUCAUGCAUAAUUUCCAAUAACUCCAAUUUUCACAAAAAUUUUGGGAUUCUACAUAAUUGAACACUUGAAAUCUUUUUAUUUGGAACUUAAAAUCUACUUAUACUAAAACAAGUUUCUAAUUACUUCUCAAACUUUUAAAAUUAAAAGCAAAGUAAAUAGAAUCAAAGUAAGGACUCCUAGAACACUAAUAAACAUAUGACUCAAAGAAAAAGACAAGAACACAAUAAGACCUAAAAAAAAAUAACAAUCCAAAAGUGAAACAAAGCUAUGGAAAAUAAAACAAGAAAAUUGCAAGGAAAAUAAAAGGCUAAAAAUUAAAUUGCAAGAAUGUAAAGACAAAAAUUUAAAGGUACUUGAAUUUAAAGACAAGAAAUUAAAGGUGCUAGAAUGUAAAGUACCAAUCAACUCAAAGCAAAAUAAGCUCAAGAACCUAAGCUCUGAUAACCACAUGAUAUGAGUUGAUUUUAGGAUUGUUUAUUUUAUGGUGUGACACUUUACUUAGAUUGAGAUUUUAGGAAUAUAAGAGUGAAGACCUUAGGAAAAUCCCCACUGGAUAUUGAUAUUAACUUAACCAAGUGGUUAAGUAGAUGUGAAGGUUCAUUUCACAAAGGCAAAGAGCAAAAGACAUUGAACAUAAAAUGGUGAGAAUGGAUGUAAAACUCAAUUGAUAAAGAUAAAACCGAGAGCAAUACAAUAAAGGAAACAAAAACAAUGAACAUAAAAUGGAAGGAAAAUAUGAAGGAGAAUGGAAGAAGGAAACUUAUGGAAAAUGAGAGUGAUGUUCACGACACUUGAUGGGUGGUAACCAUCAAGAUCAGUGGAAGACCGCCACUUGAGAGCUUCAUUCUCAUCAAGAUAAGACAAAGGGUGAGGAGAUAGCACUCACUCAAGCUCACACAAUAUUUGUGCAGAGUAACUCUUCUUCUAUUAAUUUCAACUUGUAAAAUACAAUGGGUAAGCCUCCUAUUUAUAGGUGAAGGAGCCUGGGAAAACAAGCAAGAAGGAUAGGAUGGGAAAAGGGGAAAAAUAGGCAGCCUUAGGGUUUGACUAAGUCAAACCCGCAUCAUAGGCUCAUCCUUCUAGAAACUAGGUCAAAAUGUCUUCCUAAAGGGUUAGGAACAAGCUAAAAUGACACCUACACUCCCUAUCAUGCUAAAGGCACCUUAUUCUAGCCUAUCUUUGUUAUUUGGACCCCUAAAGUGAGCCCAAAUUAUUUACAAACAAAUUCUAUUUUUUUUAAGAAGACUAAAAGGAAGAACUUCUGAUAUUUUGGUUUAUAGCUUCUUCUUAUUUUUUUUAUUCUAUCUCGAGGCUUGGUGGGGCCUGGCUUUGUAUCUUGAGAUGACUGGCCCUUUUGGGAAGUGCUUGUUGUGUCCUUAGUCAUUUGUCGGUUUGUAUCACUCUGCAAGACAGAAAAGCAAAGGAGAUAAUGGAUCACCUUAUUUAACACUUUAUUACAAGGAAAAAAAACCCACCAAACUACCAUUUAUCUUGAUAGAAAGCAUAGCUAAACGAAGGAUUGUACUAAUCCAACCAACAAAUGAGGGAUGAAAACCAAAGCGUGUCAAAACUAAUAAUAAGAACUUUCAACUCACAGUGUCAAAUGCUUUAUGAAUAUCAACUUUGUAAGCCACAUUACCUCCUCUAACCUUUUUAGAAAGCAUGUUAAUAGCUUCAGAAGCCAUAUCAAUACAAUCCUGAAUCUAUCCACCCUACACAAACCCAUAUUGAUUAGGAGAAAUGAUUCUAGCAGCCACAAUUGCAAGCCUAUCCGCUAGAAUUUUGGAAAUAAUCUUAAAUUUGAAAUUAGCAACAACAAUUGGCAUGUAAUCUUUAAUGGAAUCAACACCCUGGAUCUUAGGAAUAAGAGAUACCACAUUGUUGUUCAUUCCAGGAAGAACCCAUUUUUGUUUAAAAGACUGUUGAAAAGCUUUGCAAACAUCCGUCCCAAUAAUGUCCCAACAAGAAUGAAAGAAUACAUCAUCAAAACCAUCCGGACUAGGAGCACUAUUACCAUUAAGAUUAAAAACUGCAUUUUUAAUUUUCAAAGAAUCCAGGCAUUUAAUCAACAUAAUGUUCUCCUUAAAGGAAACCAGUUCAGGAAUACAGGAAUAUAAGUACCAAUAAACUCUUCCAUACUACCUGUAUCAUGAUCAUUAGAAAUAGACACAACAUAAAGAUUUUGAUAAAAAUUCAAAAUAUGAUCCUCGAUGAGUUUAUGAUCAUCAAUAACCUCAUUAUCAAUUUGUAGGUGAUGAAUCCCACUAGAAUUAUUUCCCCUCUUUACCACAACAUGGAAAAAGUCGUAUUUCUAUCCCCAUCUUUAAACCAUAGCAUCUUGGUCAUCUCUUUCCAAAACAAAUAUUGAUAGUGAAAAGUAUGUUGUGCGAUGCUAAACUGAUAAUAAUACUGAUUUUGAGUCAGUUUUUAAUUAUUUGAGUCUAUUUAUCACCCACGUUAUUUUUCAUUUUUCUUGUAGUGCUCAUCUCUAAGCAUUAACUCGUGAGAUGUUUAUCUUUUAUCCCAUGAACUAAGCGAACAAGAGAAUGAUUACAACUAAAUGAACUACUCAAGAAUUCUAAUUAAAGAAGAGAAUUUAAUCAUCAACAAGCGUUCAAAAACAACUCAUUAACAAAAACCAAAAUUUAAAAAUAUCAUGCCUUUCUAACACAAAACUAUAUCAAAUAAAUUUAAGAAUAAAAUUUUAUUAAACAGAAAAGUCAUAAUUUAUUACAAAAUCACAAGAGAAUCAAUCUAAAGGGGUUUAUUCUUACAUACAGAGGCAAAACAAAAUAAUUACAAAGAAAAAAAUAAAAGAAAACCCUAAUGCAUUGUUUUUUUAACGCCAUUUUGAUGAUUUCUCCUUGUAUCUUUUUAUAGGUUUUUCUGCUCCAAGGAUCUCGAAAAAAAUGGUUUAGAUUUUGUACACAGUUUCUCAAUUUCCAACUUUCCAAAAUUUUUGAUUUUUUUUUCUAUUUAAUCUCCAACUUUAUUUCUUUGUAUCUUCGCGAAUAAUUUGUUUUGAGAUAUUGUAGAUUUUAUUAUUUUAUUCUUUUCCUCAAAUUUCGUUUCCCGUUGUGAUUCAGAGAGACAAUUUGGAUUUUCCCGUCAUUCGGCUCUAGUCACACGUUCCUAUCUUUUUUUUUUAAUUUUAUGUUUUUAAAAUUUUAUUUAAACAUAUUUUUUUAAAUGCUUUUUUUAAAUAAUUUAUUUAAAAAAUUAAUUUCUAUAUAAAUAUUUUUUUUGAAAUAUUUUUUUAAUAACUUGAUUAAUAAAUUAAAAUUAACAACUUCUAAUUUUUACUUUUUAAAGUUUCUUUUCCUUUUAUAAAACUUUUUAUAAAAGUAUUUUUAAAUAUUUUUUUUUGUAUAAUCGAAGAUUUUAAAAAAACAUCAUACUUCCACUGACAUUCAUACAUAAACAUUUUACUUCCAAAAGACAUAUGCACUUAUUUAAACUCAGAGAUUUGCAUCUGUCAUACUACUUCUACUAUGAAAUCCACACAACUAUAUAUAAAAAUAUGAAUCCACUCAUCAUGUAUGACAAGAUUAAUCCAUAUGAUAUGCUUUAAUCAGUCAUAUUUCAAACCUCAUACUCAGUCAUAUGAAUCUCUUUCUACUUUUACCACCUAAUAAUCUUCAUCUAUAUGAUCUUCUAGAAGAAUAUCUAAUCAAUGCACAUCCUAAUCAUCUUAACAUGGUAUUUCUUUUCCUAAAAAUAUUAUGAAUCAAUUUCAUUUCCACAUGAUUCACAAUUCAUCUCAGUCAUUGAUACAAUCCAAGUCAACAAGGAGAUGACCAAGGACUCAAAUUACCAUUCACACUAUGAGAAGUCAUCUCAACUUUCAAGUGAAGACCCCACCAAUGAUCUAACAAACCUCACCAGAAGGAGAAAUGGGCAAAGACCAGAGCAUCAAAUGUUCUUCCUUUUGGUCUUCUUAAGAAUAAAACAUGUUGUAAAUAAAUUGGACUCACUUUAGGGGUCCAAAUAGCAAGAUAGGUUAAAAUAGGUGUCUUUAGCAUAAUAGGGGAGUGUAGUUAUCAUUUUAACUUGUUUUUCCUAGUUUCUAGAAGAAGUGGAACCAAAGGCAGCCCCUCAUACAUUUACCAUCCUAUCAUUGCUCAUCUUAUUUUCCAAGGCACCCAUUCCUAUAAAUAGGGUGCCUUACUCCAUGUAUUUUCAAGUUCAAUUUUGAUAUAGAAGGAAAACUCUGCACAAUUUGAGUGAGACUUGUGUUCUCUUAGCUUAGGUCUUAUCUUGUGAGAGUUGAGAGCUCUUCAAGUGGUGGCCCUCCACACUUAUCUUGGAGAAUCCACACUCCAAGUGGCGUGUUCUUCUCUUGUCCACCACCAUAAGCUUUCUUUCCUUCAUCUCUUCUUCCAUUUUCCAUUACACCUUUGUUCUUUGUGUUUAUGUUCUUGUUUUGUUCUUCCAAUUUUAAUUCGGUUUCCUUCAUCAUAUUUGUUUCUUUUAUGUCUUUUUAAUUCCAUAAUAUGCAUCAUCUUCACCAUAUAAUGUGUUUUUCCUUUUUCCUUUGGAAGUGAAUCUUCACACUUACUUAACCACUUGGUUAAGUUCGUGUCCAGUGGGGAUCCUCCCUAGGUCUCACCUUAUAUUUGCUAAAAUCCAAAUCAUAAACAAAGUGUCACUCUUAAAAUGGAUAAAUCUAAAAUCAACUCACAUUACUCAUCCACAUACCAUUCAAUCGCACAUAAAUUUAUACUUUUUAAAACUUUUAGAAAAUAUCAACAAUAAUAACAUAACAUUUAAAAUUUCAUAAAUCAAUUGAACAUAUAAUGAUUAUUUGCUUUACAUUUUGAUAAACAUUAGAUUUACUUGUUUUAUACACUUAAGUGCAUGAAUUGAAUAAAAUAUUAGCCUUUAGAAAGUUGUAAUCAUUUACAAUUUAUAAAAUGAUAAUUUGUUUAUAGGAUUUAAUUCCAUUUCAUGGAUAUAAAAAAGAAAUAAAAAAGGUAGUUGAGCAAAAAUGAAAAAUGCUAUGAAAAUGGCUUGAGCUCAGGAUGCAUGUGCUACGCCUAGGAUGUUAGCGCUGAGCACCGGGUGUUGGCGUUAAGCAUAAUGUUGGCAUUAAGCUCAUUUGGGGUAAAGAACACCCAAAAAACUCCCCUUAGCACAUGAAAAUUUUGUUGACUGUAUUUGAGGCUGAGAACUCCCCAAGCACACUUUAGCUCAAAUCCAUUUAGCGCAAGGAAAUUGUGAUGAGCGAAUUUGAGGCCAAGAGUACCCCAAACAGUGCAACCAAAUCUGCUGACGCAAGGAAAUUAUACUCAGCGAUUUUGAGGUCGAGGACAUGUAUAACACAUUUAAAAUUACAAUUUAACAAGUAAAAACCAAGACUUAACUUCAAAAUACACAUCACAAUCAAUUUCAAUCAUCAAUCACUUAUCCAAUUGUUUAGAAAUUUCAAUCAUUUUCAUUAAUUAACAUAUAUUUGAAUCAACAAAGCAAACCAUGCAAUAAUUUUGGAACUUGUGACCAUGUCACUUUCAUAUCCAGAUAACACUAACUUCCCUUACCUGAUUAAAAUGAUGACCACUCAAAAAAAGUUUUAACUCCUAAAGAAAACAUGAAUGACUUAACCUGCACCACCAAGUCCUAAUAAAUUAUCGGAGCACAUCACUAGGAUCAUGAGCUAACAAAGACUAAUCCUGAAGCCACAGACACUACAUGUAAAACAUGUCUAUUCUAAACCUUAAACCCUAAACAUAAAUAAUUGAUUUUACUAUUUAUAUUAUUUUAUUUUAUUUUAAUAAUAAAAUAUUCAAAUAUUAUUUUUAAUUAUAUAAACUUCUACUUUAAAGCUAUUUUCUAGUUUAUAACUUACAAUUUCAUUAAAAUGAAAUAUUUUAUUAAAAUAGAAGUGUUGUGUUUUGAAAGCGACUUUAUCUUGAAGUAAUGUUUUUAAAACACAACUUACCAAUUUUUUUGAUAAAUUUUCUAAAUAGUUAUACUCAUUUAAUAAAAAAUGGACAAAAUAAUAGUCUAUUAUUUAGUAAAAAUUGUACACGUUUAGUAAAAAUAUAUAUUGUAUAUUAUUUGAUCCAAUGUGAUAAUAUUUUAGUUUUUUUUAUAUGUCCACAUCCCCAAGCAUGGAUAUGGGUGGGUUCCAAAAUCUAUUUGAUUUGAGUGUAUUAUUGAGAAGAUUACUUGGCACAAUGAAAUCAAUGUUUAUUUGCAUUGAUAAAAGCUUUUAUCCAAUUAAGUAUACCUCUCUAACUUUGAUGAAUUUCAAACAUCAUCUUGAAGGUGUACCACAAACUAUGUGCCUUACAGUGUAACCAUUGCCUUUUUCACACGUAUUAAGGAUUGCCCAAAUCACACCUACUACUUGCUCGCUUUUCUUCCAUACCUUUCUCUUUUAUUUGUAUUUCAUGUAUUAUAUUAACUUUCAAUCAUAACUUUUCAUGAUUCUAUCCACAAAAGUACUACUAUAAAUGCAUGCCCCACUUUAUGUGCUUUGAACUUUUUAUUACAUGCCAAGUGGAAGGAGGUGUCUUCCUGUGAUUUUCGUUUUUCAGAUUAAACUUUCUUUACAAAAAAUUAUUACUAGUAGUUUUACAAGUUUUCUAACACGGACCGAAUACGAUUUCUCACAAAUUAAAUUCUUUAUAUAAAUAACUAGCAAAAAUACUUUCAUUUCCGUGUAUAUGUAUAUAUAUAUAUAUAUAUAUAUAUAUACAUAUAUAUUAUUUAUAUCUUUACUAUAUUAAAUAUAUAAGAUUUUAUUAUUUUUAUGAGUAAUUAAUUAAAAGAUAAUAUAUAUAUAUAUACAUAUAAUUUUAUAGUAUUAAAAACUUAUGGACAUUACUUAAAAAGUUUAUUUAGUUAUUUUGAAAUAAAAGAAAAUAUUCAUUUAUUUAUUUCAUUAAAUAAAUAAAUUAGUUUUUAUUUAUUGAAGGAUAAAAAUUAUCUAAUUGAAAGAUAAUAUUUAAGAGUUAUAAAAAAAUUGUUUUUAGAUAAUGGUAUAGGUAAUAAAUUCUAAUUUAAAACUUAAAAUAAGAAUAAGUUUAUUUAGAUAAGUAUUUUUUAAACGAGUUUAUUGUGAAAACAAAAUAAUCUUCUACCUGAUAAACAAUCCAAUCUGAUUACUUAUGUAAUAAUUAAUGAAUAUUUAUUAUUUCCUUUGUUAAAUAAAAUAUUAUUAUAAAUUGUUAAUUAGUUGUUAUUUGUAAAAGUUUCAAAAUUUUGAUCUAUUUGAAAAUAGUUUCAAUUCCAUAGUUAAUUAGAUUUUGUAACUUUAGAUUUCACAAAAAAUAGUUUUAAUUGAUAAUACUUUAUAUGAUUUAUAUGAAUGUAUUAUAAGUUAAUUUGUUUAGGAUACAAGUAAAAGAAAUAUUAUUGUUGAAGUAUGUAAGAAUAAAAGAUAUGUGUGAUGAGAGGAGACUACGAAGAGUUGGGUCGAGUUGAAUAUUUUCUUGAAGAGUUAUCACCUAUUUAUAAGUAUUCUUGAAUUCACAUCAUUAAGAAAAUAUUCAACAAUUAUUAUGAGAUGUAAAUGACUUUUAUACUAGUAUCUAAUAAUCACACUAGUAACCUAUGACUAAAUGAUUUGAUUUAUGUGUCUUAAAUAUUUAUUUAAAUUAGCAGCUAUUACUCUUAACGAAUGUAACUGUAAUAGAUGGUAAGUACAUAAGUCCCCCCAUCUCGAAAUCCAAUCCAAGAAGAAUUACAAGUGCAUCAAUUUGAAGGAUGAACAAGUUCGGGGUUGGACCUGUUUGGGUUUAGCGUAGGUUAACUCUUGAUUUCAAUUUCGAUUGGUGUUUGUUAAUCAUUUUGAUCUAACAAUUUAUAUUUUUUUUUACAGUUUGUACUCGGAAAAUAUAGUAAUUGGCAAUUCGGUUCAAGUUUGAGAAAACUUUUUUAUUAUCAUUUGAUCUUAUCUAAGUAUUGUUGAUUUGAUUACCAUUUGGUCUCGAGGUGCUACUUGACUGCUUAAGUUUGAAAAAAAAAAUCCCAAUGAUUUCGGUUAAGAACUAUUUAUUCGAUGAUUGUUUCUCUAAGAAUGUUGUUAAAUUGUUUGGUCUUUUAUUAAAUUUUUGAAGAUUUGAUCUUGUUUGAUCUAAGUAAAAGCGUCAAUCAUCUUUGAUAUCAGUUAACAAUUUAUAAUAAGUAUCAUUAUUAACAGGUUAUGUUUGAAAAUAAACUUUUAUUUCAAAACAAUAAACCUCAUUAAAACUACCUGAAAAAAUUCUCCUUAGGGAUAAAAAAUGAGUUGAGCUUUUGUCUAUCUAUUUAGGAUUUGUGGACAAGGGACAAGUUUUUAACCGAGGCCCAUGGUGGGCGCCUAAUGUUCUUAACUUUAUGAUCUUGGGUUCAAACCCCACAAUGAACGUCAAAUGUUCUUACAGAAAAUGGAGUUGGAGAGUUUCAAGGUGGAGAAGAAAAAAUUCACUACAAGCAAAUCAUUAAAUAGAAACUAAUUAACUAUCAAUUUAGAAACUACUUAUUAAUAAUAAAAACUACUUUAGAUAUCAAUAAUUUUGUUAGUCUCUAGAAUUGUAAGGAUCUAGAAAAUAACCUUAGAGUAGAAGUGGUAUAUUUUAAAUGAUACCUGGAUCUUUUAUUAUUAAAAUGAAAGGACAUAUAAAUAGAAAAUUUAGUUAUUCAAGUUUCAUUUUUAAAAUUACCACCAUCUCUCUAAAAGUUUCCUCUUUCCUUUCUCUCCCUUCUCUCUAAGAUUCUGAUAUCCUCACUUAUCAGUUUGGCGAUCGGAGUCUGCCAUUGGACUCUUGGCAGCGAAGACUAUAAGACUGCCCGAUCAGAAUCUCUGAUAGAUGUGGCGAUCGAAGUCUGCCAUUGGACUCCUGGCAGUGAAUCCUAUAAGAUUGUUCGAUCAAAAUCUCAGAUAGAGUAAGUUCAUUUUUGACCCCUUUUUCUUUUGAGUUAAUUUUGGUCUUAUUAGAUUUAUGCUUUGCAUAUGAUUCUUUUAGCUUCAGGGUUAAUUUUGUUAACAAAGGGUCCUAGUUAUAUAGUUAGAUUUUUAUCAGGAUUAUGUGGUGCAGGUUAAAUUUCCUUUAGCUUUUGGUAGAUUUGGAUCCACUAGUGAGCAUCAGCUAAAGUUCAGGUAAGGGAAGCUAGUUUUAAAUUGCCAAUAGAAUCCUAGGCUAGAAGAUCUGGAUGUGGGGGUGACGUGGUCACCAGUUUCAAAUUUUCUUGCAGGAUCUCUUGUUUUUGUGUAGAUUGGAAAUUGUUUGAGAUUGAAAUGAAAAAUUUAGAUAUAGUAGAUGGUGUAGAAUGUAUAUAAGUUUGGAAUUGAAUGAAUUACUGAAUGUAUUUGAAAAAGGUUUGUGAUGAUUUUUUUUUACAAUUUCAGAGCAUAUAUUUUGAUUAUUUCGUGAUGAUUCAGUUUAUGAACUAAAGAUUGUUUGUGACAAUUUUUAAAGUAAAUUGUGAGUUGAUUAUUUGGAGAAUUGCUAUGUUGAUUGUAAUAUGAAUUCUGGUGAUUUUGAGAUAAAUUAGUUAUUGGAUUUAACAAUUGGUGAUCAAACUUUAAUUUUCAUGUUGUGGCUUCCCCAUCCUUUUUAUUAAAUAAUGUUGGAUACGUGGUGCUAGGUAUAUGUAAAGUAAAAAGAAGAACAUUUAUUGUUCAUGCUCUUUUCUUUCAUUCUGUAAAUGCUAUACAAUGUUGGAUAAUACUUUUCUUUUCUCCUUUUGUAAUUGGUGUAACAAUCUUGCAAUAAUUCUAAAUAUUUAAAGUAUUACCAUACAUGUUGGAAUUAGUUCUUCUUUGUGGAAAUUUGAAGAAGUUGAGAGCUGUUGGAUAUAGUUGUAGUUGAGAGAUAAUUUUCUUUCAUUCUCCUUUUAUUGUCUCUCUUUUUGGAUAGUAAAACUUGAUGUUAUUUAGAUACACUUUGGAGCCCUUUUGAUUCAAGACAUUUAUAUGAUUUGUAAAUGAAUUGUUGUGUGUUUUGGAAAUUCUAAAAUUUGGAAUGAUUUGAUUGUUUGAUGUUGGAGAUUGUGAUGUUUAGAAUAUGAAUUUUAAUCAAAACAUAGUAUUUUCAGGAAAGAAAAUAUCGUUUUAAGAUUGUUUAGGAUGUGCAUUGACUAGGGAUUUGUCUAGAAUGAGAUAUCCUGACUCUCCUGAGAUAAUGGAAUCAUAUAGAUGAAGUUAUUCAGGUGGUGAGAGUCGAAGGAGGUUCAUAUGAAUGGGUAAGUUGUUUGAAAGAUAACUAACUUGACCUGUUAUAUGAGUUAACCCUGUCAUACUAGGAGAGAUAUGAUAUUGAGAUUCUUUAUGCACAUAGCUGUGUGGAUUUCAAAGUAAGAUAGUAUGACAGGUGCAGAUCUUUGAGUCUAAGUCAACGCACGAGUCUUCCGGAAGUAGAGUCAAGUGUCUAUGUGUUGUGAGUUAGUAGAAGUCUGACAAAUGAAAGAUGAAUUAUAUGAAUGUAAUAGACACUUGAUGGUUUGAGAAAUCAUAUGAGAAUUGAUGAAUUAUGCUUAUUAAUUUGAAAUUUAAAUUAUAUCAAAACUUUUUAUAUAGAUAGCUUACCCUGUUAUUUUUUUGUAUUUGUUUCUUUAUCUGUGAUGAUCGUAUUUUACACGGGAGCAAAUGAGAUUGCAGGUAAUAGAGCUCCUUAGUGAGCAGCUGAAGGAUGAAAUAGUUUUAUUUAAAUGCUUUGUUUUGUUGUUAAAACUUUUGAUGUAUAUAUUAAAUCCCUAUGAAGAGGGAUAUUUGUUUUGAGAUACACAUAUGAGAAAGUAUUAUAUGUUUAUUUGUAAUUAAAUAUUGCUUGUUUUACUUUUAUUUCUUUACAUAUGGGUAAAAUUAAGGAUGUUACAAAAAUAAUAUAUAUUUUAGUCAAUAUAGUGAAUAAUUAUUUUUUGUCUUUAAAAUUAAUCUAUAUUUAACAAUUUUCUUGUAGUGAUUCCUCUACAGAUCGAACUUUGUGGUGUUAAACGAUCCUAAGAAAGGGGGGAGAUCCAUUAGCAAAGACGGUCUAAUGCAAGAGUAAGAAUAUAAGAUAUUUAUAAGUAUAAGAGAAUAAGAAAAGUUUAUGCAAGUUGAAUACUUAUUUAGAGUUAUCACUUAUUAUAUCUUCUUGAAUUCUAACCAUUUAUAAUAUUAUUAUGAGAUAUAAAUAAUUUUAAUACUAAUAACCUAUAAUUAUUGGCCACCUAUGAAUGAAUUAUGGUCCAAUUUAUUUCUCUUUUAAAUACUAUAUUAAAUAAGUUUUUUUAUUGGUGUGGAUAUAUGAAACUGUAAUUAAGAAUAUGUACAAUUUCUAUUUUUUUAUUAUUGUCUUUUUUUUCUUUUUUUUUUACUGUCAAACUUUUCAGAGUCAAUCCAAAGAAAUCAUAAAAGUUAACUAUUUUUAUUUAUCAGCAAAUAAUAAAAAUAAAGUAAGAAAAAAAUACUUCUGUGAUAUUUUAACCCUUAUACAAUUAAAAAAAUUAACUAUUUUUAAAAUAUAAAUUACUAAUUAGUUUGAAACCUUUGUCUUGAAACAUUUAUUAGCUUUAUUUUUUUAUAUAAAAAAACCCAAUCCUAACCUAAGCCAUAGUCAAAUAUCACAAACUUGUGUUUCAAUAAAUUGUUUCGAAAUAAACAGAUAAACAUACUUAUAAUUAAUUUAUUAAAAUGUUUCACGUCAUAUUCAAUAAGUGGUUUUUUUUAAAUAACUUUUUUCACUACAAUAAUAUAUUAAUAGUUCAGAAUAUGAUUAUUAAGAAACGGAAUCCUGAACAUAAUUUGAUAUAUUUUUGUAAAAAAAAUAAUUAAACCGAAAUCUAAAUUGGAUUUUAUUUUUAAAUUUGUAUUUAUAAAUAGAAAGAAAAUAAUUAUAAAUUUUUAAAUUUUUUAAAAUAAAAGUAUUAUCUUGAAAUAAAUGUAAAUGUAAAAUUGUAAAAAUAAAUCUUAUAUUAAAAAAUAUUGAUUCAAUUUUAAUUUGUUUAUUUAUACAAUUACAUUUUUUUUAAUCAUACACAUAAUUAUUAAAAUAAUUAUGGUAAUAAUAAUAGGAUAAAAAAAUAGGGAAUACUGUUCUUUAUAAAAAAAAUAUUUUUAUUACUUAUUAUUUUUCUUUGAAUAAUUAUUUACAAAAUAAUUAUUACAGUUAUAAGUAUUUUAAUUGUUAUAUUUAUUAUUCAAAAAUUAAUAAUUUAAAUUAUGCAAAAAAAAAAUUUAAAAAUUAUUUCUUUUUUCUAUAAAAUUUUCUAAACGAAAAUUACAAAAAUAAACUAUUUCAAAAUUUAUAAAUAUUUAUUUUGUUAAAGAAUUUUUCGUAUUUACAUUUUGUCUAAAUAAUAAUUAAAUUUUUUUUUUUUAAAUAAUUAUUUCUUCGUUUUAUGCUGUGCCUUUCUCAUGUAGGCUACUAAUCACUAAUGAAGUUUGAUUCCUUAAAUAAAAUCUUAUUUCUAUAAUGGUUAUACAAUGAUUUAUAUAAUAAUAUAUUUAUCUGUGCUUUUAUUGCAUAUCGUUUAUCACAUCAUACUUUUAUAUAUGAGCUGGUAUGCUAGAGGGCAAAAGACCGACAAGCCCAAUGAUUUUUAGGAAAAUCUUUUAAGUAGUAAUUAAUUUUACUUAUUUUUUAAGAUAAUGAGACGUAAAUAUAAUAAGUAAAUAUUAAUAAUUAAAAAUAAAAUUUGAAUAUAAUCAAUAGAUCUAUUCUGAAGUGAAAAUAAGGUAAUGAACUUAUUAUACUCAUUAAGAUAAUUAAUGAACUCUUAAAAAAUGAAAAUUAACAAGUUUUGGAGUAUCUGCAUGUAACUCAAACCUAUGCGCGUCAUAAAUAAGAACAGAAUUGAAAAGCAAAGAGUAAGGAGUGAAGUGGUGGAAAGAUACUAGAUGUACCCUCCCCUACAUUUUGUGUAAGAGAAAUACAUAAAUACAAAACAUAAUGUUAUAUUGAUAAUCAGGCGAAUUUUUCAUCAAUAAUAAAAAGUCGUCUUAAAACUAUUUAAUUCGUCUUCUUCUUCUUUUAAUUUGCCGUGCGUGAUGAGAAGGGUCCAAUUAUUUCUUUAUUGGGCCUACGUCCGGUAAUGAAAAAUGGCAGAUUCUUUCUGCAUCCCUAUAUUUUUCUUCCUGCACCGUCGCAAUUUUUAAAUCCCAAAACUGACCUUCACCUUUUAUUUAAAAUCGGGAUCUGGGAGUGUGCUAUGGAUUCAUCAAUCCAGAGGUGAAUCAUGUUGCUUUCUGGAUAAUGGGGUGUUCUGGAUGUAAAGUUUGCAUAAAUUGUUAAUUUCUGGAUUGCUAAAUCUGGAAGCCUAAUUUCUAUUACAUAUUGGUGGAUCCAGAAUGAUUUUUUUUUUUUCAAUUAUAGAUUUAUGAAUUUCAUAUUUUGAAUUUAAGAUUGAUGGAUCCGGAAUGAUUUUUUAGUUAUGGAUGUUCUGCAUUUUUUUUAUUUUGGAUUAACACUGUCAUCAUGUACUAUCGGAAACACCAAUCCAGGAGGUUACUGGAUGCAUCAAUCCAAAAUUGUACCAGAAGCAUUAAUCAAAACUUUUACCAGAAGCGCCAAUCCAAAAAUUUACCGAAUUUCGUAAUCCAGAAUGCAAAAAAAUAAAUGUACAAUUUUUAUAUAAGAAUGAUUUUAUCUUCGCAGAACAUUAUUCCAAGAAGAAAAAUAUAGGGGUGCAGGAAGAAAACUGCCAUACAUGAAAAAUAUGGUUUGAGUUGGGCCUCUUUACGUCCUCUGGUAGAAAAGAAAACACUGUAUAGGUUAUUUUUCACUGAACCUCUAUAGCUUCUCCGGACAUCCUUAUUUUUCACGAAAAGACUAUUUUAUUUUUAAUAAAUAAUUCUGAAUUCCACAAUAUUAUAUUUUUUAUUUAUAUUUUUGAAUUCUAUAAUCCAAAAUAUAUAUAUUUUUCUUUAAAAAAAUAUUAUUUCAAAUUUAAAAUCUGAAAGAUAUUUUCAGAUCGAAUAAUAAUUUUUAUAUUAUAAAAUUCGUAGUAAUUUUUUAUUAUAAUAUAUAUUUUGGAUUAUAUAAUUUAAAAAAUAUUUUUUAAUAUGAAAAUAUCUUUUAAAUUGUGUAAUUAAAAAUAUAAUUUUAAAAUAUAUUUUGAAUUGUACAAUUUAAAAGAUAUUUAAAAGAUAUUUAUGAAUUUAAAAUUACUUUUCAAAUUAUACAAUUCAAAAUAUAUAGUAUAAUAAUUUUUUUUACAUAAUUUAUAAUUUGAUAUAAAAAAAAAUCUUAAUAUACACUCUCGAAAUGAUAAGAUUGAAAUUUAAAAAAUAUAUAAAAGUACAGGAGAGAAUUUGCCCAAAAAUAAAGUCUUAUUUGUGAGGGUGUAUUUUCAAAAUCACAAAUUCAACAAAACUAUUAUAUUAUGAAGAUUGAAUGUUCAAUGUUGAAAAGAUCUUACAUGAAAAGAAAAUUAUAAGAUUUCCAACAUUCAAAAUGAGUUCUUGUACAAUGAUAAAGAAAAAUUAUAUUUUAAACUUUUUCCUACUAAAAAAAAUCAAGAAUCUACACAAAAUGUUAUUUAAAAUCUCAAAAUAAAAUAAACUAUUAAAGUAAAAAUUAAAUAAAAUUAAGAUAUAUAAUAUUUUACUUGAUAAAAAGGCUAUCAGGAAAUAGGGUCAGAUCUCAAAAUAAAAUAUUACAUUAAAAAUGCUCUAACGCAUUAAAUUCAGCAACUUGAAAACACUUAAUAAAUUGUGAAAGAUGUAGAUUAGAUGGGCAUGUGAAAUAGAUAGUUGUGAGGUGAAGUAAAAUUAAUAUGGUUAGCCUAAAAAACUAACAAAUGAUGAAAUUGAUAUAUUGAAUGGAAGAUUCGAGGAAAACUCAAAUGAAUUUAUGUACCAAACAGAAGCUAAAAAAUAAAGUAAAGAUAAAAACAUGUGUUUUAGCUUAAUCUUUUUUCAGUCCAAGUGUGAAGUCGGUUUUAACUUUGGUGGAUGGUGAAGGAUCAAUGCCUACAACUUUCGUAAUUUGGACCCCAAGAGAGUUUGUAAUUAACGCAACACUUGAUUACUUGUGAAAAAUGUCCUCUUUUAGUAUAAUUAAAUAAAAUUACUUGAUUAGUCGUUAAACAGAUUAUAAUGAGAAUCAUUUGGGUAUUUGUAUUUGUCUUUUAAAUUGUUGAAUUGGUGACCAAUUUCAAUGAACCAUGGGAGUGGAACCCACACCAUAUCAAAGUAAGUAAUUUAUUUUCCACAGAAGUAUUAUCAAAAGCAAUCCUAAUUAUCACUUCCAAACACAUUACAUUCUUAUUUGGACUCAUUAUAUAUCUGUCCUUCAAAUUUAUCAUUCAUCCCGUGACAACUAGCGAUGAUAAUGUAGUAUGGAUUGUUGAUCUGUAAUUCAUUAUAAAAAAUGUAAGGGAGAUUCACUAUUUUGAUAUGCUGAUUUGUUUAGGUUUGUUUCGCAUCAUUCACAAUUUAUGUAGGCUUGGUACGAGGUGGAUAAUAAUAAAAAUGGUGCUUUUCUGCAGCCCAUCAAUUCUAGAAAUCGAAUUUCAUAAGCAAAAUAGUUGUUUUAGAUUCCAUAAGGUAAAAUAGUUGUUUUGGAAUAUUUUUUUCUCUCUUCUGAAUUUUCAUUUCCACAAUUCACUUUUAUGUUAUGGAAAUAAAAUUCCAAAAUUGAUGAGAUUCAAGAAGAAAUUUGAUGGACUGUAGGAAGAAACAUCUUAAUAAAAAGUACAAAAUUAUCUUCUCCAACUUUUGGUUCUCAUCAAUGUCAUGUUUCUAAUCACAUCAUGUGCUCUCAUGACUCCUGCCAUCCCAAACACCUUUUCAGUUCAUAGAGUGAUAGAAAUAUUAAGAAAAUGUAAAGCCAUUGAAGAAAUUAUUAAAUUGAAAAAAAUUUAAAGAGUUACAAAGUGGUCAUAGUUAUGCAAAUUGAAUAUUGUCACGUCAACACUACUACCAUGCAGUUUGCAAACAAGAUAACGAGUAUUUUCUCUAUAUAUUACAAAUAUAUUAAUAUUUUUUAUUUUUAAUAAAAUUUAAAUUUUUUUAUGCGGACUAACACAUAAGUCCAUGGACUUUCUCUUAUGUGGGACAAAUCAAUAGAAUCAUCCCACAUUAUUUCAACAGAAUGAGUCAACCCAACCCAAUUUUUAUGGAUCAAUUAAAACGAAUUAAUAUGGGACGGGUCAACCCAUAUUUUCACCCUAGUGAUAACUAUAUUUCUUUGUUAAGUUAAUGAAACUACUCUAACCACAUCAACUAGUGAAAUAAAAAGAUAAUAACUACAAUUUAUUGAAUAUUAAUUUUUUUUGACAUACACCUUAAUUAUAAAUAAUAUCAUUUGAAUAAUAAAAAUAAGUGAAAUUAAACUACUUAAUCAAGUUAUUGACCUGAUUUUUUUAAAUUUAUAUUUUUUAUUUUAAUAUGUUUUACAUAAUUAAAAACAAUCAUUAAGUUCUUCAAACAUUUUAAUAAGAUUUGUUCUUUUCAGACUCUAUAAUUAAAAAUAUUUAGGAACUCAAGAAAAAAAUCAAAAUAUUUUGAAUGAUUUAGAUAAUAAAAAUCAGUAAAAACGAUCAAACCUUACUUGUGUACAAUUAUACAACUUUUCGUAUUGUGAUAUGUUGUUAUGGAUCCACUCACAGCAUAGUUUUACUAAUUUUGGGUAAGUGUAUAAAUUUUUUAACGUACCUCAUUUAGUAUUAAGAUGAUGUGUAAAUUCUUUAAAAAUAAAAUAAGUAAUUUUUUUAUUGAAAUGUGUUAAAAGAAAUAGUUCAAAAAAAUCAUAGUUGUUCCUGUCGGUUGACUUGGUCGCCGGUAGACUUAUGCGGGCGAGUUUUGACUUUGUCUGCCUCUUCCUGGAAUCUGUGCUUUUCUUAGCUGUCUAGAUGUCAUUCCUGUUGAGACAGAGGGCACCCUAACAACCGAUCGCACUCCGACGAUCAAGUCAGUACAGGGCUUAUAAGAAACCAGAAGUAUAUAAUUUAAUGCUUAGUAAAGUGUUAGCCAAGCAUUAGAAACAACGUACCGUAACCAGGGAUCUUGAGUCCUUUUUAUAGAGUGUCGCUAAGUUACCUCUUGCGGUAACAACUUCUGUUACAAGAAUCUUAUCUUGAGUAAGGACAUAUUUAAUGAGAGAAGAUCCCGCUUCAGUGUGUGUAAUCUUAACAACACAACUACACAGAAUCUUAUCUCCUAGGAGUGUAUCAAAUCUUAAAAGAAUAACCACCUGGAUACCCACUUGGGUAUCGUUCCCCAGGAUCAUAUCUGUUUUCAAGUACAUUCACAUGCUUUGUGUAUAAUAGUACCAUGCAUAUGCCAUUACAUAUCGGCAUGCAAAUACUCUAUCAAGCCCUGUCUCGAUCAGUCCUCGGUCAUCAACUCAGAGACUGACCUCAGACAUCGCGCACCGAUGCUUGGUAAUGGAAGGGGACCACGUCAGGUGGGCCCCAGACGCACCUACUAGGGGAUUGGUUAGUCUUGUUGGGUUCAAUAGUGUCAAAGUUCAAGGGGGGGGGGUGAAUUGAGUUUUUAAAACUUUCGCACAGAUUCAGUUUUUAGCACAGUACAAAGAAAAUAAAUCAAUUUAUUUAACAGUGAAAAAAUUUAUUUUUAUACUGCUUAUGUAUUAAGAGUUUAUAUCAAUUGAGUGAUUUUUUAUUUUAAGCAAAUUGAUUCGCAAGCUACACUCACAUUGAUUUUAGAGAGGAACAAUGAAAAACAAAAUCAGUGAACUUCAACUUUUAAAGCAAAUGAUAAACGUUCAAUUACAAGCUUGACAGUUCAUACACUUUUUAAAAGAACCAAAACAGAUUUUCCAGAAAUCAAGAACAGAACGAACAAGCCCAGAAAGAACAAAUUUAUUUUUAAUUGAGUAGAUUCAAUUUCUGACAGAUUAACAAAUAAAGCAGUAAAAGAGUGUAGGGAUGAAGAGAAAUUGAACACACAACAAUUAUACUGGUUCACUCAAAUGAGCUACAUCCAGUCUCACCUAAUUCAAGGUGAAAUCCACUAAACAAACGGAUCACAACACUUACACAACCACUGUUUUUGAACCCUACAUUAACUUGACACACUUUGCUGAAAAACACUAUUCCAGCACACACAACUCUUCAAGAAACCUUAUCGAGAAGAGUUUUACAAUCACACUUUACAAGUAAUUGAGAUAUGAAAUGAAUACACCUGAUAGAGUAUGCAGAAAUCUGCCUUAGACCAGUAGAACAGAUUUCUCACACAGUGACAACACCUCUAGCCAAGCAUUAGAACCAACCAAGAACAAGCAAACUUUGUAAUUUGAAAAAUCUUUCAAGAACUCGUGCCAAUCCUCUGAAAUCUCUUUUGUCUCAGUUGUAAAAAACCAGUUUUCUCAACUAUCUCAACUCCAUUUUAAAGCCAGAACGAACUCUCUUUUUAUUGGAAACAUUUUAUAACAAACUUUCAAAAAACAGUUAAAACUGUUACAAAAAGAAUAGAUUGAAAAUAAAAUGAACAGAUUUAUUUUCAAAGGUAGUGAGAAAUUUUGUUAGAUGUAGGAGACUUAGUCAAACACCCUGGUGCAAGGAUAAAGCUGUGAAAAACCUUUUAAGAAAAACAUGACACCAGACUAAAAAGAAUCUAUUCAUUUAUAGAGGAUUUCAUUUUCAAAACGAUAACAAGAACUUUUUAACAAGAGAAACACCAUCGUUUUGAUGGAAUGAAAACUUAGUUAAGAUACUUGAUGCAUAAAACAUGAUUUUCAAAAACACUUAAUCAAGGCAUCAAUUGAAUCUAUUUAUUUAGAAAAGAACAGAUUCAUUUUCUAUGCAGUAAAGGAUAUUUUUUCAAAACAUGUGAAAAACAUUUUCAUAAAACUUGUGGUUGCUCUUAUCACAUGGUCAGGGGUUAAGAGGUGAGUUACCCAACAAAAAGCCUACUUUAACCAACCUCUAAUCUAUACCUAAGACAUCCUUAAAGAAAAUACAAACACUAAGGAAAAAUACACAUUUGGCUUCAUCUAACACUUUGUCCUUGAAGGGGCAACAUCCAUCUUCAACAAUCUCCCCCUGUUUGAUGGUAGAUAAAUCCCCACAGCUCAAUUGCUUUAAGAAGAGAACAACACCUGUACUGCAUCAAACACCAAACUACAAAAGUUGAAACAAUUCAUAACAUGAAUAAGUUUUAAGGUGCAGAUUGUAACUCCCUGUAUCACCUAACACGGUGAGCCAUUUUUCUCCCCCUUUGGAUUCUUCAAACAACAUCGAGAAAUAUAAAUCCAAAUAACAAUCAAACAUAACAAUCCAGAAAACAUUACAGAUUGUUCAACAGAAACAGAAUGCAAAAGCAUAAACUAGGCAAAAGAUAAGCAUAGAAACAAGGCACUUCUAAUCCUUGUAGUACAGUUAUGCCAACUGCACUUGAACACCCUCAAUCUGAUCAUCAAGAUGCUGGAACCUGGCUUGAGUUGUCUCGAAAUAGACCCUCUGUUCCUCUGACACGACAUCAAGACGAUACAGAACCUGCCUCUCAAACAUGGACAUGGGUUCAACUUUGUAUUCUGGAGCUUGAUAGGCAACAAGAGCAUUUUGGGGAGUUUCAGCAGCAUCUUCAUUCAUUGACUGUGGUGCAGGUGAAUCUCCUCUGAUUUCUGUAGAUGGAGAACUCAUUCUUUGACUCCUAGCAUGAUCAGUAGGUGAUUCUUCUCUGUAUGAGUGAUGGAUUACAUAGCAAGACUGUUCCGCAGCUUGAACAGUAUCAUCUUCCAUAGGAACAACAUCAUCUUCAUCUUCAUUGUUGAGAUUUGAGGCUUCACGUUCCUCUCUGUGAGUCCUGCUUUUGUGAAACACCCAGCAGCCUUCCACUUUGUGAAACCCCAUCUUAAUGAGAGGGACAUUUUCAAUCUCACUCACAGCCUUGAUAGUCUCGUUCCUCUCAUUAGAAGUAUCAACACCAAAAUAGUCAAUCAAUUUUGAAACAAGGAUAGCAUAAGGAAAUCGAUAAUCAGCUAACCUUUUGGAUUUUUUUCAGCAUAUGUUCCAUUAUAAUGUAAACCCAGUUAACUUUGAUCAUGUUCAUAAUGAAAUAUAGUAGGAUUAAAUCUUCCUCAUGCAACACAACAUGAUUUGUCCCUCUAGGAAUGAGUUGCCAUGCAAUGAUAUAUGCAAGUAAUCUUGGGGUUAAAUUCAGGUUACCUGCAUGGAACCUGUUCACACUUAGGGAUGGAUCUCUUACACAGCUUCGAUAGUACUGAAUAUUGUUAAAUUCCUGAAUCCCAUUUGUAUUUCCUUUGCCAACCUUCAAACCAACAUACUUGAUUCCAGCCACUAAAUUCCAUACUUCAUUGGUGACUUUCAUCUUAAUCCCUUUCACGUAGGACACCAGAUUUUUCCCAUCCUGAGUCAGAUUGGUGUAAAACACCUUCACUAGAUCAAGGUAUACAUUACCACUCAUUUCAAGAAGCUGCUUCAACCUUUGAUGCUUCAAAGCAUAUCUGAUUUCAGCCAGAUUCUCUGUUUUCAGUCAAGAGAACUCUAGAACUUUAGGAAUGUUGAUUUGCUUUCUACUCAUCUCAUGGAUGUAGGCGGUUAUCCCCUCAUCAUCUCCAACAAACCAGUUUUCCAAUACUCCUUGAAAGUUAUUUUUCUUGUUCUGUUGCUUUUUUUUUUGACGUGAUGAAGAAGCCAUGAUUGAACCAGAGUUGGGUCUGGAAACACAACUUGAACCAAAUUAGUGCAUAGUAAUAAGCAUACAGUACGAAAUCACCAAAGAGAGAACAUUACCUUUUGAUUCAAAUGAUGAGCAGUCAAUGUGAGUAACACUUUUACACAGAUUUAUAUUGGAAAAUAGAAAUAGGUUGAUGAUGUUGAACCUUGUGAUGUUCAAUGUUUUGAAGAAUCCAAAUCUUUUGAAGGAUGUUGAAGCCUCUGCUUUACUUGAUGUUGCUGUGCUGGUUUAAGCUUUGUUCUGGGGUAGUUUAUAUGUUGUAAUCCACCUUUGUAUUAAAUCUCAAGCAAUUAGCAUCUCAAUCCUUAUCAAAGUAAAAUGUUUUUCAAACUAAGUUGAAACAAUCGAUUGUUUUGUCGAAACAACCGAUUGUUUAUACUUAGGUGUUUUGAGAAAGAUUGAAAACUGUUUUUGAAUGGUUGAAAUUGUUAAGUACCAAAACAACCGAUUGAUUCGAGGAAACAACCGAUUGUUUGUUUUGGAACCAUAACAGAAAAACUGUUUUGUGUUUGACUGAGCUUUAAAUGAUUUAACUAAAUACGCUCCAGUCAUUAAAUACUUUGACCAAUCUUUUAAAGCAAUUUAAGAGUUUGUUAAGAUUUGAUAACAAACUAUAUCUUUGUAUAAAUUCAGAAAAACAGAUUUGAGAAAAAAAGGAAUCUUUUGNNNNNNNNNNNNNNNNNNNNNNNNNNNNNNNNNNNNNNNNNNNNNNNNNNNNNNNNNNNNNNNNNNNNNNNNNNNNNNNNNNNNNNNNNNNNNNNNNNNNUGAGAUUGCUUAAGAAUUUGUGAUUGAUCAAGGUGUUGGAAUAGGAUUCUACUUGUAUUGAUUUCAUAUAUUCAUCUGUAACAAGUGUAAUCUGUUGAACAAUUCGUUUCUGUGUUUUGCUGAGAUUGGCUGUGUGUUCUUGAGGUGUUCAAGAUCAACAAUCUUAGUGUUGGCCAAGGAGAGUGUGUUUCUUGAGGUGUUCAAGGUCAUUCUCUUGGUUGUUGUGUAAGUGAUCAAGGUGUGAUUACUUAGUGUAUUUCCUCAGGGUUCUGAGAAGACUGGAUGUAGCUCUGGAUUUGGAGUGAACCAGUAUAAACAACUGUGUACAAUUUCUCUAUCCCUAUCUCUUUAAAUUCAGUUUUGUCUUUUUGAAACUGGUAUAAACAACCGAUUGUUUCGCUAAAACAAUCGAUUGUUUUUCCAUCUUUGUGCUUUUGUUGUUUGUUUUGAAAAACUGAAUCCUUAAUCAAGGUUCUUUUGAAGAAUUUUCAUUCUAAGGUUAAAAUUUUACAAAAAUCUUUCUUAAACAAUUCACCCCCCUCUCGUUUAAGGCCAUAUAUUCUAACAGAUGAAGCAGUUAAGAGCAGAUAUGCACGAGGAUUUUAUUCCUUGUAUAUGUGCAGAGAAUCUUUGAAAAGGGGCAACUAAUAUUUUGAAUCACGAUGCAUGCAUAUCACACCACAAUUUAACUAGCAAAUGCAUCAAAUCAGUUACAAAACCAUGACCAAAAUCGUCAAAGAUUUAGUGGUUAAUACCCACUAAGUCAGUCAAUCAGUCAAAGAUCAGAUGUUAAAUUUUCUCUUUCUUAGUCAUCAAUGUAUACCAGUAUCUGACAAAAAAUAAACACGUUUAAUUGCGAAUAAAUAGAUUUAAUUUUUCACUGCAGAGCACAAUUAACAUUUAUAAUACCCAAUUCAUUCAGCAGGAAAUUAAAUCUAUCUUUGGCCACGGGUUUUGUAAACAAAUCUGCAAGCUGUAAAUCAGUACUAAUGAACUUAAUCUCACAGGUUCCAUUUGAUAUGUGUUCUCUUAGAAAGUGAUGUCUUAUUUCAAUGUGUUUUUUCCUUGAAUGCAUAAUAGGAUUUUUAGUUAAAUUGAUGGCAUUUGUGUUAUCACAUAGCAAAGGUAUAUUGUUAAGUAAGAUACCAAAGUCAUUAAAUUGCUGCCUUAGCCAUAUGGUUUAAGUACAACAACUCCCCGUUGUAAUGUACUCUGCUUCAGCAGUAGAGAGAGCAACACACGCUUGCUUUUUGCAUUGCCAUGAGAUCAAGCUUGAUCCAAGCAAGUGAUAGGCACCUCUGAUGCUCUUCCUAUCAAUCUUGCAACCUGCAAAGUCUGAAUCAGAGUAGCCAGUCAAACUUAAUGAAAUGUUACCUGGAUACCACAAGCCAACUUCUUUUGUUCCUUGCAAAUAUUUCAGAAUCCUUUUAGCAGCAUUGAAAUGUGAUUCUUUUGGAGCAGAUUGGAAACGAGCAAACAUGCACACUGCAAACAUUAUUUCAGGUCUGCUGGAAGUGAGAUACAAUAAGGAUCCUAUAAGACCUCUGUACUUAGUCUCAUCCACAGGAUUUCCAGAAGUAUCAUGAUCCAAAUGACAGCUUGUUGAGAAAGAUGUGCUGAUUGGUUUGCACUUGUCCAUACCAAAUUUUCUCAGCAGAUCUUUGCAAUACUUAGCUUGAUUUAAGAUUAUGCCAUCCUUGAGUUGUUUGACCUGCAAGCCUAGAAAAUAAUUCAACUCACCCAUCAUAGACAUUUCAAACUCACUCUUCAUGAUUUCCACAAAAGUUUCACACAAUUCUCCAAUGUUUGAUCCAAAUAUGAUAUCAUCCACAUAGACUUGCACUAGAAUUGUGCCAUCCUCUUUCUUCUUAAUGAACAAGGUUUUAUCUGAUGUGCCUCUGUCAUAGCCUUGUGAGGUAAGGAAAUCAGUUAACCUCUCAUACCAUUGCCUAGGAGCUUGCUUAAGCCCAUAGAGAGCUUUCUUGAGUUUGAACACAUGUCCUGGAUGUUGAUGGUCUUCAAAUCCUGGUGGUUGUGAAACAAAUACUUCUUCAUUUAUAUAACCAUUCAAGAAGGCACUCUUCACAUCCAUUUGGAAUAGCUUGAAUCCUUUGAUGCAGGAGAAGGCAAUGAGCAGUCUGACAGCUUCAAGCCGAGCCACUGGUGCAUAUGUUUCAUCAUAGUCUAUUCCCUCUUCUUGAUUAUACCCUUUAGCCACUAGUAUAGCCUUAUUUCUGGUAAUCAACCCAUGCUCAUCCAUCUUGUUUCUGAAUACCCACUUUGUUCCAAUGAUGUUCAUUUAAGGUAUUCUAGGAACAAGAGUCCAUACCUCAUUCAGAGCAAAUUGAUUCAGUUCCUCUUGCAUAGCCAGAAUCCAGUUACUGUCCUUGAGUGCUUCAUUCAGAUUUUUAGGCUCCACUUGAGAUACAAAGGCCAUUAUCUCACAGAAAUUACUCAGAGACUUCCUAGUUGAAACUCCUUUCUCAAUAUUCCCAAUGACAUUAUCAAGGGUUAGAUCUCUUGGAGUUUUCCAUUCUUUUGGCAAACCUGCAGAAAUAGUAGGUUCUUGGACAACAUGUGAGUCAGCAGUAUCAAUAUGAAUCAAUUCAUUUUUAUUUAAAACAGAUUUUAAAUCAUCACAUUCCAGGUCAUCUAUAACAGUUUUAGGUAUGCUAUGAUCAGUUUCAUCAAAUACAACAUGCAUUGAUUCUUCUACUGUGAGCAAUCUUUUAUUGAAGACCCUAUAUGCACGACCAUUCAAAGUGAUCCGGUCGGUCAUCGGUAGUCGGUGACAUCAGCAAAGGAUGGCCACGUGGACCGUUCUUAGUGGAACACGUGGGCCAGGGAAGUAGAUGUGUCAUUGAGAGAGUCACCAAGGGUGGUGAUCGGUGAUCAGGGGGCGGUGGUCAGAGAGGAUGCGCGAUCAACGCCUAGAUAAGCGCCUGGAAGCAGAAGGCGUGGCGCUAUGGGGCACCGAUCGGUCAUCUGGGUGAGCGAUGAUCGAUCGGGGUUUCGUGUUACGCACAGUUAAGCUAGAAACGAAGGGUGGUUCCCAGCGAAAGCGUUGCAUACGAGCCUUGUGUGGCAGAGUAUCAGAGAAAGGAGAAGUUAUGUGCUUUGUAGUGCCGUGCACGAGAGUGGCCUAAGAGAGCUAGUAAGCCAGUCGGUGAUUGGUGUUCUCUUAACCCAUAACGUGCAUGGUGCAAAGCAGAGGUGAUCGUUCACACAGUAGGUGAUGCCUAGUGUGUGCGCUUAGCCAAGCCACACUUGGUAUUCACACUGAGGUUGCACGAACCACCUAGUUGAAGAAACGCGCUAAGUUACUUCGUNNNNNNNNNNNNNNNNNNNNNNNNNNNNNNNNNNNNNNNNNNNNNNNNNNNNNNNNNNNNNNNNNNNNNNNNNNNNNNNNNNNNNNNNNNNNNNNNNNNNAUGACGUAAAGGUAUGUUCAGAUUUCAUACAAUAAAAGCAAGUAACAUGAGAUGCCUUUUUGCCACUGUUAAAGGAUGAAAAACCUGUUUUUGCUGGAACAAAAAAACUUGAAAGCUUUUUAACAUUGGUUACAUUUCCAGGGUUAUAACCAAUUCCAUUUUUGUUAAAAACAACAUUCUGUGAACCUAGAAGAGACUCAAGAUUCUCUCUUCCCUUAGUGAAAUUAGACAGGGUUUUCAACAAAUACUCCACUUGUUUUUCCAACUUUUUACAGUUUUCACAGGUUUUUAGACAAGCAUGCAAGCAUGUUAAUUCAAGACUUACAAGAUCAGUUUUAGCCUUAUGCAGUUCUUCCUCAAGUGAUUUUACUUUAGGUGCAAGCACAUUAUUUACCUUUUGCAACUUACUGCAUAUUACAACCAAUCUAUUUGCCUCAUCAUGUGUUUCUUUGAAAGCAGCAAGCAAUUGAUCAUAAUUGUCAGAUUCCAUAGAGAAUUCACUCACUGAAUCAGAGAUUGAUCCUUCAUCUUUUAUCAUGAAGCACAGAUUGGUUUCUUCACUUUCAGUUGAAGAGCUACUUGUUGAAGACACUUCAUUCUCUUCCCAAGAGAUGUAAGCUCUUAUCCCCUUGCUCCUUUCAACCUUCUUGCUGGCUGAUUUGUCCUUUGAUUGAUUGUUUGGACAGUCCAUCUUGAUAUGCUCUGUUUUACCACAACCAAAGCAAGUGUAGUUAGAGGAAUUUGAUUCAUUCAAUUUAGGAUACCUUCUUUUCUGUUGGUUCCUAUCUCUGCUUUUCUUCUUUAGGAAUCUACUGAACCUUUUUGUGAGUAGGAUGAUUGUUUCAUCAUGUUCAACAUCUUCUUUCUUCUCAUUGAUGUCACUCUGUGCACUUGCUUUCAGUGCAAGUCCCUUGGGUUUCCUUUCCACUAUUUCUUACUCUUUUUUGAGCCUUUUGAGCUCCAACUCAUGCUCCAUUAAUUUCCCAAAUAGUGCAGCAGUGGACAACUUUGACAGAUCACGACUUUCUGAUAUGGCAAUCACUUUAGGUUGCUAGCUUCUAUCAAGGCACUUCAACACUUUUAUGUUAAGUUCCUCUUUGUCAAAUACCUUUCCCAGUCCAGUAAGAUGAUUCACAAUGUGGGUGAACCUUUUCUGUACAUCAACAAUGUUCUCUUCAUGUUGCAUCCUGAAUAGUUCAUACUCUUGGAUGAAAGAGUGUUUUCUUGAUCUCUUCACAUCCUCAGUGCCUUCAUGAGUAACUUUCAAGACUUCCCACAUCUCCUUAGCUGAAUUUGAUCCGGUCGGUCAUUGGUAGUCGAUGACGUCAGCAGAAGAUGACCACGUAGACCACUCGCAGGGUGACACGUGGAUCAGGUGGCAGAGAAAUCAGGGAGGAGAUCACCCAGUACGGUGAUCGAUGGUUAGUAACUGAGUGGCCACCGACAGAUCAGUUCCAAGAUAAACACCCGGGGGAGAACGCGAGAAGCAAUAGAGCACCGAUCAGUCAUCGGGUGCAUGGUCAUCGGGGUCUCGUGUUACACGCAGUUAAACUGGGUCUGAGAUUCCCAGCGAGAGCGUUACGCAUGGACCUCGCAUGAUCAUACCUCAGAGAAAGAAGAGCUCCUCGUCGGUAUAGUCGUGCACGAGAGUGGCCUGAGGGAGUUAGUAAAUCGGUCAGGGAUUGGUUACUCUCUCAACCCAUUACGUGCAUGGCAUCGUGAAGGGGAAAUCGUGUAUGCAAAGAGCAAUGCUUGGUGAGUGUGCCUAGUCCAGCCACACCUGGCGUUCUCCUGAGAAUGAGCGAUUCACUCAGAUGGAAGAAACGCGCUAAGUUACUCCGCAAGGGAAUAACUUAGGCGCACAAAGAGAUGCGCUAGAGCCCUUCAGGUGGUGGCAUGUGUACGGUUAGAUGUGAGUUGCAUGCCUCCACGUGUCGCUGUCUGAGAGGGGCGCGACCCAGAUAAAGGUGCACUCCGUGUCGUGAAAGGUACAGACAGAAAACCCAGACACCCACGACCCUAACUGUGGUACGUUUUCGUACAAAAGCAUAACAGAAUUCUGACACACGCAGAGAACAGCGUAACAGAAUUCUAUUAGGCACAGACACAGAGGGAGAUAAAAAGGGAAUUAGAGAGAAAUACAGACACACUUUUUUACAAACAUUUUUUUUUAGUGAUUCUGUGAUCUAACUUGAGCGUCGGAGUGCAAACGGCCGCUAGAGGCGCUGUCUGUGUGUUUGCAGGUUGCGUUCGGAGUUCCCAGAGGAGGAGGUUCUAAGAGUAUUCUUGCAGAUAGCACAGUUGCCAUAGGCGGGGCAAGGAAGCGACAAGGCAAUUCCUCCACGCUCGAGUUGUUGUGUACCGCCCUGGUAGUCGGGAGUAAUGACGUGGCGUCGAGCUAUUAUGUAGGCGUGUUGGAUGGGACACCUAGUUAGCAGAAGGGAAGGAGGUCGGGGGGUUUGCGUAGUCGCCAGUUAUUAAGUUGGCGUGCUCCGAUCUCCAGCACACCAGAGCCGGCGGUCACCGGGUUAAAGAUGAAGUCGCCAGAUGUAAACCCAGGCGACCAAGUGAUUAGAGAUCGCUGAAACAAGGACAUCACCGAAGAUGAAGGCAGAUAGACAUUUCCCAGCUGGCCAGAGGAUGAGGUCGGGGGACAACUUGCUUGAGCAUACACGGUGAAACAGGUGGUGCAGAUCAUGAAGGCGGCCGGCGAGACCACAGGGAAGGUGUGUACGAAGGCACCUUAACUCGCCAAUCCAGAAGAGAUCGCGCUCCAAAACAACUAUGCACUGAGUAGUAUCAUGCAUAAGUAACUUAGCCAAAGGAGAGUCAGAAGUAGCGCCCAAGUCAAGGAUGCUCCAGAUGAUGGCACGUGUACAGCUGGAUGCGAGCCACGUGUCUAGAUGUGUAACUGCCAGGAGAGAGAAAGUGUCUAGGUAUAUAAGAGUUUCCAACGAACUUCUGAGGUACGCACGUUCAGAUUGUCUUCUUUACGCUUGUGAGUUCUUGAGUAUACUGAGAGAGAACUGGUUCACGGUUCCUUAGAGUUCUUGAGUGUUACUCUUAGUAAUUGGUGGUUCAGUCGCUGACUUGGGCGUUGGAGUGCAAUCGGCCGCAGCGGCGCCGUUUCAUCUUUUGCAGGUUCUUGAGGUGGAUCACGACGGAGGACGGAGGCAAACACGGCGCAUACGUCGAUCCAAGUUUAACGAGGCAAAGCUCCAGCGUUUUGGAUUUACAGGCAGGAUCAUCAGGCGCCCACCGUGGGGCCGUGUAAAACCUGUUCCCAUCCACAGCGUGAGUUCUUGGAGGUUUUUGCAGUUUUCUGUGUGGUUGUGUGUUGGUGCAACCAUUGUCCGCUGUUCAUCUAGGUUUUGUUCGGUAAUUUCGCGUUGUCCACCGUCCGUUUGGGUUUUUGUUCGGUGAGGUGAAGUUUUAUGCUGCUUACGCGAGAUUUGUUCUGUGAGAUAUGAGUUUUUUGGCUCGUUUGGAUUUCUCGUGGAAGAAGCGUUGGUUUUUGGUGGAGUUGUGGGUUUCGGUGGAGGUUUUCUGUGUUCUUGAGGUUUCUUUCGAAGUUUCGCAAAGUUCUGACCGAUUGAUCGCUGAAUCGAUCGUCGCUGAAGAAGGUGUUGUUCAUUGCACUCUGUGAUUCGUCAAGUUUUCAUGAGAAAAAUGAGAAGCAACCGUUCAAGUCCAGUUGCGCCCGUUGCUGCUGAAGGCGCCAUGACUAUGGCGCAGAUGGUGGAAAUUAUGCGUUCGUUGCAGGAGAAUGUGGAAGCCUCGCGCAUAGAGCAGGCAAGAAUGCACGAGGACCUGGUCGCCUCUCGGGCCAGGAAUGAUGAGCUUAGCAGAGUGACUGAAGAACUGCGUCAAGCUCUUCAGGAGCAGCGAGGGCGUCCAGUCGCUGAAGANNNNNNNNNNNNNNNNNNNNNNNNNNNNNNNNNNNNNNNNNNNNNNNNNNNNNNNNNNNNNNNNNNNNNNNNNNNNNNNNNNNNNNNNNNNNNNNNNNNNNNNNNNNNNNNNNNNNNNNNNNNNNNNNNNNNNNNNNNNNNNNNNNNNNNNNNNNNNNNNNNNNNNGGGUCAGAUGCCGUGUACUGCAAGAUGUUUGUGAGCACACUCCAGGGACCGGCGCUGGAAUGGUUUGUGAGCCUGCCUACAGGUCACAUAACCAACUUCCAACAGUUUUCGAAGAUCUUCGUCGAGCAGUACAUCGUGAACAAGGCACCGCCCAGGGUGUCUUAUGAUUUGUUUGACAUAAGGCAGUAUCAGGGAGAGUCCCUCAGGGACUACCUGAAUCGUUUUGGGGCGCAGAUGGUCCGAUCGCCUGCCAAAGAUGAAGAGAUGCUGGUCUACGCAUUCAAGAAGGGCGUGCUGCCGGGACCAUUCUGCGAGGCAUUGAUCAGGGCUCACCCUGCCACGUUUGCUGAAGUCAGGCGACUUGCGGUGGCCCACAUCGCCGAUGAGAGUGAAGUCGCCGAGAAGAGGGGAAGCGUGGCUCCCGUCAGGCCACGUGCCCAGACUAGGAUCCAGCCACAGAGGGUGCUGGAGAUAGCGGCGGCCAGGAGGGAUCAGAAGACUCGCCAUCCUUAUGAUCCAAGGAAGAACAAGGGCAGGGGCCCAGGGUGCCCUCAACCAGCACGCCGGGAGUACAAUCGCCCGCCAAAGCACAAGUUUGUCAUGGGAUUGGCGGACCUGAUCGCCAUUCCCAAUAUAUCAGCUAGGUUGAAAGCGCCCGAGAAGGUGGGUGACAAGGUGCUGGGACCAAAGCCAGACGCCUGGUGUGAGUUUCACCAGGGCUUUGGCCACACCGUGGAUUCGUGCUUGGCUUUAGGAUACCAGCUCGACGAUCUGGUCAAGAGCGGGUUCCUAAAUGACUACUUGCGCGUCGAGCUCCCAACCAGCAGGUGGAGAGGCCCAGCAGCACGAGAUGCCUACACACGGGGAAAUCCACACCAUUGCAGGGGGUUUCUCGGGUGGUGGAUGCACCGCGUCACAAAGAAAGAAGUACGCGAGGUCUGUGAUGACGGUGGAUAUAUUUGAAGACCACUCGCCGGAUGUGGACAUUACGUUCACAAAGCAAGAUCUUCGGGACGUUGUGCCUCAUGACAACGACCCCAUAGUCAUCUCGCUGAUCACAGCAGGAAGGAAGGUCCACAGGGUUCUGGUGGACCAAGGAAGCUCGGCAGACGUGAUGUUCUGGCCGACUUUCACACAGUUGGAGCUACCCCUUGACCAGCUGAGGCCCUAUGGAGGGUGUUUGUAUGGUUUCGCUGGCGACCAGGUAGAGGUCAGGGGGUACAUAGAGCUGAGGACUACGUUUACAGAUGAGGCGGGCUCGAGAACAGAGAAAAUUAAAUACCUUGUCGUAAACGCUCCUUCAGCCUACAACAUUCUGCUGGGAAGACCCACGCUCAACAGAAUAGGCGCUAUACCGUCGACCCGGCACAUGAAGGUGAAGUUGCCAUCUAUGGAGGGGGUGGUGAUCACCAUCAAAUCCGACCAGAAAGAAGCGAAGAAGUGCUAUGAGAAUAGCCUGAAGAACAAGAGGUCGGUCAGUUACGUAACAACCACCCCGCCUCCUGGUGUGAAGCCCAGAUCGACGGUAAUAGAAGAGACCGCCGGAAGAGAUGUGGUGAUGGUGGAUGCUGAGCUGGGGGAGGGGAACGCCGGUUUAGAGGAAGAAGAGGCAAGGAAUCGCCCUGAGGAAGCGAGGGAGCUGGGAAUCGCCAGUGCGGUGAUCGCCAGAGAAACCAGGCCAAAACCCGUCGAGCAGUGGCUCGAGAGAGAGAUCGGAGGAAAGAUCUUCAAGCUGGGAAGAUCUCUGGAGGUCGAGCUCCAGGACCAGAUCGCCAAGGUGAUAGAGCGGCAUCUGGAUGCGUUUGCAUGGUUCGCUUCGGACAUGCCCGGGAUCGAUCCCGAUUUCUUGUGCCAUCAUUUGGCGAUGGACAACCAGGUGAGACCACUACGACAGAGGAGAAGGAAGUUCAACGAGGAGAGGAGGCAGACGAUUAGAGACGAAACCCAGAAGCUCCUCGCUGCAGGCCACAUCAGGGAAGUCCAGUACCCUGAAUUGCUGGCAAAUGUCGUACUGGUGAAGAAAAGUAAUGGGAAAUGGCGCAUGUGCGUCGAUUUCACUGAUCUGAAUAAGGCUUGCCCAAAGGACUCGUAUCCUUUACCAAGCAUAGACGCCCUGGUGGAUAGUGCUGCAGGGUGUAAGUUGUUGAGUUUCCUGGAUGCCUUCUCGGGGUAUAACCAGAUCAAGAUGCAUCCCAUGGAUGAAGAGAAGACUGCCUUCAUGACCGAGAGAUCGUGCUACUGCUACAAGGUGAUGCCGUUUGGGCUGAAGAACGCGGGGGCCACGUACCAGAGGUUGAUGGAUCGGGUACUUGCACCAAUGCUGGGAAGGAAUGUGCAAGCAUACGUGGACGACAUGGUCGUGACCUCGCCAGAGAAAAGCAAGCACGUCGCGGACUUGGAGGAGUUGUUCACUACGAUCGCCAAGUUUAGGUUGAAGCUGAAUCCUGAGAAGUGCAUCUUUGGCGUGGAGGCUGGAAAGUUCUUGGGUUUCCUCUUAAUCGAAAGAGGAAUAGAAGCCAACCCUGACAAGUGUGCCGCCAUUUUGGCGAUGAGGAGCCCGGCCACCGUGAAGGAAGUACAACAGCUUACGGGUCGGAUGGUCGCCCUGUCUCGCUUCGUGUCGGCUAGCGGAGAGAAGGGCCAUCCAUAUUUCCAGUGUUUAAGGCGCAAUAACAAAUUUGCCUGGACGAAGGAGUGUGAGGAAGCCUUCGUCAAGCUUAAGGAAUAUCUGGCGAGCCCGCCGGUUUUGUGCAAACCGUUGGUGGGAACCCCUCUCAGGUUGUAUUUUGCUGUAACUGAGAGGGCGGUGAGCGCGGUGCUCGCCCAGGACCAAGAUCAGGCUCAAAAGCCUAUUUAUUUUGUUAGUAAGGUGCUGCAGGGCCCCGAAACGAGGUAUCAGGCCCUGGAGAAGGCUGCACUGGCUGUGGUAUUUUCGGCGAGGAGGUUGCGCCACUAUUUCCACAGUUUUACGAUACUGGUGAUGACCGACUUGCUCAUCCAGAAGGUCUUGAAGAAGCUUGACGUUGCUGGGAGGAUGGUGAAGUGGGCAGUGGAGCUGUCGGAGUUUGAUAUUAAGUAUGAACCCCGAGGUCCGAUCAAGGGACAGAUCUUUGCAGAUUUCGUGGUCGAGCUCUCGUCUGAAGCAGCACGAGUUGAGGGGGAUGACUUCCGUUGGGUGCUUUCAGUGGACGGAUCGUCGAACCAGUAGGGUAGUGGUGCUGGAGUCAUCUUGGAGGGACCCAACGGCGUGCUGAUCGAACAAUCUUUGAGGUUUGCCUUCAAAGCCAGCAACAAUCAAGCAGAAUAUGAGGCGCUGAUCGCCGGUAUCUUGUUGGCUAAAGAGAUGGGAGCUAGGGUGCUGAUGGCCAAGAGUGACUCGCUGCUAGUCACGGGGCAAGUAACAGGCGAGUUCCAGGCUAAAGAUCCACAAAUGGCGGCUUACCUGGAGUAUGUACAGGAAUUGAAGAGUUCCUUUGUCUCCUUUGAAGUGGUACAUGUGCCCAGGGAGCAGAAUGCCCGAGCUGACUUGCUAGCUAAGCUCGCCAGUUCAGGCAAGGGGGGUAGGCAGAGGACGGUGAUUCAAGAAACUCUGAAGACGCCGAGAGCAUUUGUAGCAGAUCACCUGGUUCUUCAGAUAAGCAAGUCGACGAAGAAAGCGGCGAGGAGUCACAGAUCCCUGACUCAAGAGACUUUGAGGUCGCCAAGGAUAAGAGCAUGUCGGGGAGAGAAGGUGAACAUGACGCAGGUCUGCACGACCCAUGAGCCAGACACCUGGGUAACACAGUACAAGUGGUGCCUGGCGGAUGGCCUUCUCCCGCUGGAUCCGACAGAGGCCAGGAAGAUAAAGAAGAAUUCUAGCAAGUUCACAAUGAUUGAUGGUGAGUUGUACAGGUUUGGGUUCAGUCACCCACUCCUGGAGUGUGUGCACGGGGAAAAAUGUACAAGAAUUAUGGCAGAGCUCCAUGAAGGGAUAUGCGGAAGCCACGUCGGGGGUCGAGCUCUGGCCGCAAGGACUNNNNNNNNNNNNNNNNNNNNNNNNNNNNNNNNNNNNNNNNNNNNNNNNNNNNNNNNNNNNNNNNNNNNNNNNNNNNNNNNNNNNNNNNNNNNNNNNNNNNAGAUUGCAAGAGGUACGCGCAGUGCUGCAAACAAUGCUAGCAGCACGCCGAUUGGCACAAGGCGCCUCCCGAGGAGUUGAAGUCGAUUUACAGCCCUUGGCCGUUUCAUACAUGGGGAAUCGACAUCCUGGGACCAUUCCCGCUGGCGAUCAGGCAGAUGAAGUACUUGGUGGUGGCAAUCGAAUAUUUCACCAAGUGGAUCGAAGCAGAACCAGUGACCCAGAUCACCGCACACAAGAUCGAAGGUUUCGUGUGGAAGAACAUUGUGUGCCGGUUUGGUGUGCCCAAGCGCCUGGUGUCAGACAAUGGGACUCAGUUUGCAAGUCACCUGUUGAAGAAGCUGUGUGAAGGGGUGGGAAUUCAACAAGUGUUUGCAUCCGUCGAGCACCCUCAGACGAAUGGCCAAGUAGAGUCAGCCAAUCGGGUGUUGCUAAGAGGUUUGAAGAGAAGACUAGAGAAAGCCAAAGGAAGUUGGGCUGAGGAGGUACCCCGUAUAGUCUGGGCGUACCACACCACCGAGCAGUCAGGAACCCAUGAGACCCCGUUCAGCCUGGUCUAUGGAUGUGACGCAAUGAUUCCAGUAGAGAUCCAGGAGAGCUCGCCGAGAUUCCAAAACUUCGUGGAGGAAGACUGAAAUGAGGAGAGAAGGCUGAAUCUGGAUUUGCUGGAUGAGGUCAGGGAGGAGGCGAGAUUGAAAGCUGAGGCGGUGAAGAGAAGGAUUGAACGAAGAUAUAACUCGAAGGUGAUGCCAAGAUAGUUCAGAGAGGGCGACCUGGUGAUGAGGAAAACCCACCAGUACGAGAUGGAGAAUAAGCUGUCACCUAAGUGGACGGGACCGUUCAGAAUAACCGAGGUGCUCGGGAACGGCGCCUACCGCUUAGAAACAUUGGAAGGAGGGGCGAUUCCUCGCACUUGGAACGCCACGCACCUCAAGUUAUAUUACAGUUGAAAACUUUGUAAGUAAGAAAAACACGAGGAGCUUUACAAUGUUUCUGUUAAAACAGUUUUGAAGGGGGCACUCUUUUUUCCCUAAGGAGGGUUUUUAAUGAGGCCACCCAAUAAAGAAGAGUUUUCAAAGCUUAAAGUUGUUUUAGAUUGCAUGCUUGUUGUUUUCCGAAAGUUUUGAAGAAAGACCUUGUCACUUAUAUGUGAUUUAAGGCAAGUUAAAGANNNNNNNNNNNNNNNNNNNNNNNNNNNNNNNNNNNNNNNNNNNNNNNNNNNNNNNNNNNNNNNNNNNNNNNNNNNNNNNNNNNNNNNNNNNNNNNNNNNNNNNNNNNNNNNNNNNNNNNNNNNNNNNNNNNNNNNNNNNNNNNNNNNNNNNNNNNNNNNNNNNNNNNNNNNNNNNNNNNNNNNNNNNNNNNNNNNNNNNNNNNNNNNNNNNNNNNNNNNNNNNNNNNNNNNNNNNNNNNNNNNNNNNNNNNNNNNNNNNNNNNNNNNNNNNNNNNNNNNNNNNNNNNNNNNNNNNNNNNNNNNNNNNNNNNNNNNNNNNNNNNNNNNNNNNNNNNNNNNNNNNNNNNNNNNNNNNNNNNNNNNNNNNNNNNNNNNNNNNNNNNNNNNNNNNNNNNNNNNNNNNNNNNNNNNNNNNNNNNNNNNNNNNNNNNNNNNAAUGUAGAGGCACGAGAUAAAGACCUUCUCGCCGACGAGCGAGUUCAGGCGAGUUAAAGACUUUCUCGCCGACGAGCGAGUUCAGGCGAGUUAAAGACCUUCUCGCCGAUGAGCGAGUUCAGGCAAGAUAAAAUCCUUCUCGUCUCGAACGAGUUCAAGUAUGGUGUAAAGAGUGGAAGAAGUUUGGAGGGUGGCUAAGGUAGGUUCGAAGAGAACGCCUAGCCACCCGGUCUCUUGUUCUGAAGCUUAGGGAGGUAGAGAAGGAUCCGAAAGGCACCUCUACCCCCAGAUAAAGGAACAAUGGCCGAGUUGUGAAGGCAGGAGGAAGCUGAUAUCGCCAAGAGUCUUUGGCGACCAGGGGAAAUUUAAGCAAUAGCGAGAAAGUCAAGACCCGUUUUGAUAAGGCAGAUCAGAUGAGCGGUGUCUUAAGCCAUUAGUUGAGUAGAAGUUCGUUAGUUGAAGUUGAGUUAAGGUUCAUUACUUUGAGGUUACAAGUCGUUAGAGUGUUAUUGUUCGGAAGUCGGUGGUUCGAAGCAGUUAAGUAUACAAUUGCGCUUACGAAGUUACUAAGUUAAUUUCUUUGAAGUAAAUUAUACAAAGAAGAGAUAACGCAGACAGAGAAGUUAUAAGAAGAAGUACAAAGACUUUAUCAUAAAGUACGAUCAGUUCAAGGUACAUAUACAGAAAAAGGGAAAGUCUAUUACAAUUAUGUGUAAGGAAAAAGCAUAAGAAUCGUGGAUGGAGGGAAGCAAUCAGUCUUCAGAAGGAACAACCUUCCCGUCCACCACCUCGUUGGUGAGAGACACCAUGGAAAGGUCCAAGUCGGGGUACAAGCAGGCGAACUCUUCCCGGGCGGCCUCGAAUCCAGCAGCGAGAAUCUGGGCAGAGCUCAGCUCAAGUUCUUCAAUCUGUUUCUUUAGCCCCUCGUUCUGCUGCUUCAGCUCUUCAACUUGUUUCUUGAGUUCUUCAAUUGUUUCCCGAGCUUGAAGAAGGUCUUCAGUAACCUUCUUGGAUUCCGCCUGCACCUGGGCCAGCUCUGCGGCGAUCUUCCCGUUUUCUUCGUUGGCUUCGGUGAGCUUGGCCAUGGUGUCGUCUCUCUCCUUCUCCACCUUCCCCAAGAAGACCUCCCGAUCGGCUGACCUUUUCUCGAGGUUCUUUACCUUGGCGGCGUCUGCUUUGAUCAACGCCUCCAGGUCAGCCACUUUGACGCGAUAGGGUACAAGCUUGCUCUCCAGCUCGAUCUUCUCUUGAGCCAAGAGCUGCACCUUAUGGCGUAGAUUGGUGGCCUCCUUGCGUGCCACCCGGAGCUCAGUGCUCAUAGCAUCUUCCACUCGGGAGUGAUCGAUCUCGGCGAGCGUUAGAUUGCAGGAUAACCUCUCCGCCUCAAUCCUUAUGGAGCGAUUCUCCGUUCGGAGUGUGAAGAUGUCAUCCUGGAGCUUCUUGGUGGAACUCUCCACAGCUUUGGAUAUGAUGGAGGGGAAAUCUUCCGCCAUCAUCUUCAGUUUUGCUGAGAAGGGCUCCCACACCCUCUGGACCUCAAGAGAGAGGUUUGCUUGUGGAGGCACCGGGGGGGGCUUGUUGUUGGUUCUCGCCGCCACCUUCUUGAAUCGGUUGUGGAAUGGGUGCUUCUUGGCGUGGUGGCGACGUCGGGGAUUCAGUGAUAAGGAUUGGAGAGUUGUGAGCACCUUCAUCCCCGACUGGUGCAGCGUUUGCGGUUGAGGCGUUUGAAGGAGGACCCCCUCCAGCUGAUACAUAAGGCGUGGAGGCACUCGGGGGGUUCUCCAUGAAGUUAGGCUCGACGGCCUCAACCACAGGAAGUGCGGACGCCAGAGGAACCGCUUGGACUGGCGAGGUGGGAGCUGGUGGAGGAAGCAGUGUUGGAGGCGGAGCGGGUGUGGAAGGUGGUGUUGAUGUUGGAGGAGGAGGUGGAGCAGAUGGUGAAGAAGGCGCCACCCUCUUCCUCUUGAUGAUGAGGCCAUCUUCAGUCGCCUCAUUGUCUUCUUCUUCUUCCUC
RNAcentral lists this long non-coding RNA (47285 nucleotides) under Phaseolus vulgaris (common bean). RNAcentral's name for it is "long non-coding RNA (PVUL_LNC002208)". Lineage: Eukaryota; Viridiplantae; Streptophyta; Magnoliopsida; Fabales; Fabaceae. The record is from RNAcentral.